This 48980-nucleotide long non-coding RNA is filed under the name Coffea arabica (coffee). RNAcentral's name for it is "long non-coding RNA (CARA_LNC006558)". Lineage: Eukaryota; Viridiplantae; Streptophyta; Magnoliopsida; Gentianales; Rubiaceae. The record is from RNAcentral.
GGUGGUGGCCGUGGAACUGAGCGAGGUCAAGAAUUAAGAGCAGAAAGGGAAACAACCGUUGAAAAAAGACCAGGACCGAGAGUACCACACCUACUUAAGAAUUUAUUAUGACCCAUUGAUUUGCCUGGCAGGCUAUUAUUUGAGUUCCAGCGACUCCGUGAAAUGGCACAUUGGGUUAAUAUGUAUCAGGAGAUCGUGGUACUUCGUGACGAAAUAGAGGUUCAAAGAAGACUAGUCGAAUACUGGGAAGGGCGAUUGAGGCACGAGUAUUCCGAAAAGAUUGAGCUCUUGCACCAGAACUUAGAGCUAAAAAGGGAAUACGAAGGGAGUUCCGAAGAGGCUUUAGCAAUGGCACAAAGCACUGCUGCUAUGGGGGCUCCAGAGGAAGCUCAAAGGGCAGGAAUUGUAAGGCCACAGGGGAUGAUCUUCCAUGCCAAGAAAAGGGGCAAGAAAAGGGGUAAAUUGCCAGAACAGGGUGAGCAAGGUAGGCCCUUGGCGAAGAAGGGUCGUGGAGCGAGGGGUGUGACAAUUCUGGAGACACUUAAGGAGGAUACGCCGGGAGGAAACUCAAGGGGAAAAGAGCCACUGAGGGAUAUCUCACAAGGAGAUCAGACCCCAAUUCCUCUCCCAUAUUGUGGCUAUUGUAGAAAAUCCAAUCAUUUUGAAGAGAAUUGUUGGAAAAGAGGAGGGAGAUGUCUGUGUUGUGGGAGCGCCGAGCAUCGAAUUGCUCAUUGCCCGAGUAAAGUUCGUGAAAAGAAAGGAACCCAGCAACCAACCAAGACCGACCCUGGACCGUCAAGUGGAAAAGGGACUGGAAUGAAGAAUCUCGUUUCUUCUGACUCUGAAGCCGAAGAAGGUACAGGCCAUUGGUUACUUUAAAUUUGAAAAGUAAAAUUUCGAGGGCAAAAUUCUUUUAAGGGGGAGAGAGUGUGAGAGCCCGUAUUUCCCUAAUAUUUUUUCCCUAGGGUUUUUUUUUCCUUUAAUGGCAUGUUUUCUGCAUUUUCUGGCUUAGAAAUAUUUUCUUGGGGGAUUUUAUGAGCAAUUAUAGUUUUUAGAUAAUUUUUCUAGUAUUGGAGAGUUUUUAGAAAAUUAAGAAUAUAUAUUGGACGUGGGACCCACUAGUGCGAAAAGUUCGGAAAAAUUCGGUCAAUAAGGUUAAGUUUCGGAUACUGUAUAAACUUUAUCGGGUGUUACGAGAUAAGUAGAGUGUAUGAUAUGAUUGAUGUGAGAGGAAAAGAAAAGGAUUGACAUGCAUUAAUGGGGUGCCACGUGUCACUUGGUGGUUGGUUGGACUUUACGGUUUACUAUUCACAUUUUUGACUUUUUUGACCAAAGGUUAAAUAUCUUCAAAAUUCAUUAAAAUUUCCUCAUUCUUUCUUCACCAUAGCCGGCCCUCUCAAGCUCCAAAAGGAAGAGAACUCCAUCAAUUUUCAAGCUUCUACUUGGUGCAAAUCACCCAAAAACAUUAGCUUACAUCCAUUUUACUCCAUAACAUCUUUCCUUUUAGUGAUAGUGAGUGGUCUAGUGAAGUUGUUUUGAAGAGCCAAGGUGUCCACAAUCCCUAUCUCUCUUGUUACUUGGUAAGUGAUGCUAGAACACUCUACUACACCUAAUGAUGUUUAUAUUAUGCUUAGAAGUAGCUUGAGUGAUGGAAUAUGUGAUUUAUUUCUUGAUUUGAAGAGUUUUGGUGAAGUUUUCCAUUUUAUGAUGAAUUUUCUGGUUUAAUAUGAAUGGGAUGUUGUGGCCCUGUAUGAUGAAUGGUAAUGGUUUAAAAUGACUCUAGUAGGUGUGAAUUGUUGAUUAAUGCAAUCAAUUUUGGAUUUGGAUGGAAAAAUGGAAAGUUAGGGUUCAUGAACCCCUCAUCUGUCCGCAAUUUUAGGUCAUAGAUAGAGGCCGAAUUGGCCUUAGCUCAAAACAUGAAAGUUGUAGGUAUUGAUGAUUUUGAAGUGCCUACAAAAUUUCAGGUCAUUUGGAUUAGUGUAGAGUGAGUUAUGUCGGAAUUACUGUAGCUGUUCUGCUUUGGUCAGAAUGCGAAAACUGCGUUGGUAUUUGGCUAUUUUGACUGGAAUUGGUUUGGAUUUUGAAGUUAGUGUCUUCUGAUGAAAUGUAUCUGGAUGUCUUAGAUAACAUAUUCCUUUGGAAUUUCGGCAUUUGGACUUGUAUAGGCUGAGUUAUACCGAUUACAGUUUUGUGUGUUUUGCAAACCUGUUUUAGUAAUUCUGGUAUAGUAUUCUGCAUUUUUGACCUAGUUGUGCUAGGAUUUGGAUUGAGUGGCCUUCUACAUUGUUGUAACCCUGUCUUUUAGCUUCGAUAUGGUGGGUCUUACACCCUCAUCCGAUAAGCGUAGCGCAUUUUGUGUCAUUACCGCCAAAGUAUGACGAAAACUGUUUUUUUGGUAAGGCCUAAGCUAAUGCCAUUUCUUAAUUUCUGGUUGCCUAUGAUGCUUAUUUAUGCAUAUGAAACCCUAUUAGGGUUAAAAUUGGUAUGGCUUUAUGACUCGUUAUCGAGUCUCCAUGUACUUGUUUGCAUGUUUAGGGCUCGCUCUCAUUCCGGUCUUUUCCUAGCUAACUUUUGUACUUGUACUACUUUGAGCCUAGUGAGCGGCUUUUGGUAAAUGAGAUGACUUUUGUGUGAAAUGUUGGGACUGAUUUGAGGAUAUAAUGAAGCCUUAAUGGCUGGAAAAGUAAGAAUUUUAGGGGAGGUGCUGCCCGAUUUUCUAGGCCAUUUGGUUCCUUUAAGUUGGAUCUGCCUUUUGGGUAGAAAUAAAAAGGGCUUUUGGGUUUUUGAACCUAGGUCUUUAUGCUAUCUUUUUGUUCCCAAAAAUUAUGUUUUGUACCCUUGCAUUAGUAAUUAUUUGGCGAGGCAUACGACUAGUAGUCGAGCCUCAUGUGCAUUGUGUUUACUCGAUUACGGAUGUGAAACCUUCAAUUGGUUUAUUUUGGUUAUUUUAGGGUUUCUUGGCGAUUAAGGCCAAUCUGAAGUAAAACCUUUUGAAGUUGAGCCGGUGAGUGUACCACUCCCCUCCAUUGCUGUUUAACUUGAUUUCUGCUCUGCAAUCUGUUUAUUUGUUCGAGACGAGGGUGUACUUUAUCACACUCGUUCUCUAGUCUGUUCAUAUGCCAAUUUACCAUGCAAAAUUUGAAUCUGUUAUCUGUGUCUGCAUCUGUUCGGAUUUCUAUGACCCACGAGCUCAAUCCUGUGGCUAAGUUAUUCGAGUCGGGCCGGCAAGGGCUUGGACGAUUAGAUAACGAACCACGGUAGUCUGUUCGGGGAUUUUGGGUAUUGAGACCCUUGAUUCCGGGUAUACUCGAGUAUUACCAUUUUUGUUCGUUUGAGAUGAGCGGGCCCGGUAAAGGGGUGUUUGGUGGACGGAAUUCGGUGCGAAGUGGGUCUACGGACGCGUUGGUUCUAUAUACGUUGACGGAGAGUCAACCGGUUUGGAUCAAGUACUGAGCUGGAAAUUUGGCUCCUGAGAGCCACCUGUAUCCUUCCUAUGUGAAUCAUUAGUUACUUUACUUUACAUCUGGCAUGUGUAUCUGAUUUGUUAAAUGUGAAAUGCCAUGAUUUUUCUGCUAUAUGUUUGGUACCUCAUUGAGCGCAAGCUCACCCCUUUCUGUUCUUUUUUUUGUUUUCCUUCCAGGAAAAUAAAUACUUUUGGACUGGAUUUGAUAAAUGGCUGCCAAAUUGAGCUAGUUGAACAUAUCUUUUGUAUAGCUCAUGUAUUAAAAUCGUAAAUGUACUUUUGGGAACUGUUUUCCUUUUGAUUUGGCAAACCAGACAUGUAUCCACUUUUGAAUACUUUUGUAUGCCACUUUGGCUUGUAAAUGCUAAGUUUCAAGAUGGGAAUGUUUGCUUGGUAUUUGGUUGGGUUCUGACGGGUCGGUUACUAUUCAUAGCCGACUUCGAUUUUAUUUUAUUUUUUUAUUUAUUUUACCCGCGUUGGUCAGUUUCGGGAUGUUUUAGCUCGUUCUAUACCGAACCGUUAGUCCUGGCGAGAGCUGGGCAGGCGGUCCGCCGAACCCUUUGGUUCGCCCUAGGGUAAGGUGGGGCUGUCACAAUUCCCCUCCUCUUGAAAGACGAUUUGUCCUCAAAUCAAGUGCUUGCGUACAAAGGAGUAACUCGGAGAAUGUCUUGAUAAAUGCAAUCCAAGAAGCAUGUCGCCAAGUCAACUUGAUUAUGAACACGAACCAUUGCACAUGCUCCAUUUGUCAAAGAAUAUCUUCACCCAAUUGUACUUGGCUAGAAUUUGGAAGUUCAGUUUGGAACUCAAUUUUUGGAUUUUGGCAGCUGAUAAUAUGAACCAAGUCUAACAAGAAUUAGAAAUCAAGAAUUUGGAAACAAGAUUCCAAAUCCUUCUCAAUUUACAAAUCCAACGCAAGGUUGCCUUUUCUUGUCUUUGUUUGUCCGAAUUGCUCUCCUGAAAAGGGAUGACAAGUGGCGGCCUAACUCCCUAAAAUAUAGGAAGAGAUGGCCGAAUGUGAGGAUAAGAUGAAUGGGCUAAGGACAACCCUAAAAAGUAGGAGAAGUGGUGGCUAAAAUGUAGGGAUAGGUCUUUGUAGCGGGUUAGGAAACUGGGUUGGGAGUGUUUUGGGAAUGGUUAGAUCGGUAGGUUCUUUGGAAAUCAACCAAUAUUUGGAAAUCAACCAAGAUUUGGCAAUCAAUCAAGAUAUCAAUCAAGAUGUGGAAAUCAAUCAAGAUAUCAAUCAAGAUUUGGAAACCAAUUAGGAUUUGGAAAUCAAUCAAGAUAUCAAUCAAGAUUUGGAAACCAAUCAGGAUUUGGAAAUCAAUCAAGAUUUGGAAACCAUUCAAGGCAAGGCUGCCUUUUUUUUUUUUCCUUCUUUCUUCUUUUUUUUGUUUUUCUAACUUGCCAAUUCAAGAAAAUAAGGUAGCCGCGCUUCAAGAUUCAAGAGGAUGAUUUUUAGGGUUUUCAAAGUAUCAAGAUUUUUUUUUUUCAAGAGCCCACUAUGCAAUCCAAGAACUUCAAGAAAUUACCAAACCAACUACAAGAAACAAACACAAGGGCAAAAAAAAAAAAAAAUUCGGAUGAACAGUACUGCUACAGUCAUGAACAGUCCCGAUGAGCAGUACCGCCGUGAACAGUUCCGAAAUUUUUUUUUUUUUGCUUUUGACGACUCAACACAAGGUUACGACUUUACUUAGAAGAAAUUUAAUGGGAGUUAAACCCUUGAAAAACCUGUUUUCAAGAACGUAAUCACACCAAAAAAUUCCAACCUCGAUCAAUCACAGGAUAUGUCACGACCCCACCUCCCCCUAAGGCGAACCAGAGGGUUCGGCGGGCCGCCUGCCCAGCUCUCGCAGGGACUCAGUCGAUCACUACAGUCCUCAAACAAAUACAAGAUAAAGUCUCAAAUAAAAAUCAAAUAUUCCAACAUUUACAUAUCAAAAGCGAAGCGUCCACGCUUCCACUGCCACUCUGAUCCUUGAUCACAAUUAUUAUACAGGAGGAAGUCCAAAUCUUGACUAUUACACAUCCAAUCAAUUCUAAACGUUCAAUACAAUCCCGAUAUGAAUGAUUACACAAAAGGAAUCCAAGUUCAAUCCAUACAUGAGAUAAUCCAUGAAUAAACACUACAAGCCACUCCUUCGCCUUGAGCCCUGUGGAGGGGAAUAAAACAUUUUGGGGUGAGCUAGAAGCUCAGCGAGUAACCAGUAAAAUCAGUUAUCAAAUCAGUUUCACAAUCGUUCAUUUCAAUAAUGUCAUUUCAAUAUGGAGUAUCAAUAAUUCAAGAAACAUUUACAAUGGAAAGCGAUAGUAACAUUCAUGAAAAGGAUAUGUUCGUUCUCCUGUCAUUUCAUUGCAUUUUGGUUUCAUUCGUGCAUUCAUUCACCCCGUCCCUGGCUUUUGGCCAGGCUCCACCAACCUACAAGGUAAUACUCGAGUAUACCGAAACGUUCACCCAAGUUCCUAGUCGCCCGACCGAGUCCGCUUCUGGCUCGAGACGACCGGUAACAAGGGGCAAUGGCCAGUUCAGGCCAAAAGGCUUACAUUCAUGCGCAAGUAGCAUUUAAUCAUUAAUCAUUGAAAAUUUCAUAUUUAUUUAGGUCGAGUGCGAUAAAGUACACACUCACCUAAAAAACUCGUUUUAACAAUCAUUGAAAGCAAAAUCAAUAAUAACAAGACACUGAUAUGCAAGCACGCAUGAUAUGUAAGAAAACAGUUCCAAAAUUAACUUUGAAAACAGUUCAAAAGUAAAUAAUGCAAGAAAUGGUUCAUAAAUAAUUUUAGAAAUAGUUUGAGGUCACUCACCUCCACGGCCCUGAAACCAUCCAUCGUAUAGCAUUGCCUUGCUCAAAUCAAGUCUUAGAUCACAUAAACUCAAUGCAACAAGUCCCUUCAAGUCCCUCGGGACAGCACUUCCACUGAAUUUCGCUGAACUUUUCCAGGCCAUCAUGCUUCAUUAUUGUCCUCAUUUCAUCCCAAAGGCUACACACACAACAACAUGUUUCAUCCAAUAGCCAUUUCAGCAGUGCUCCAAGUAGUACUAGUACACAGUCAAGCUAGGGAAAAGUCCGGAAAUGAAGUUUCAAUGCUCAAAACCAGAAAAAUAGUUUUGACGUCAUUUUGCGGUAAUGGUACCAAAGGCACAUCGAGUAUCGGAUGAAGGUACAAGAUACACCGUUUCGAAGCUAAAAGACAGGGCUACAACAUUGUAGAAGGUCACUCAGUCCAAAUCCCAACACAACUAAGUCAAAUAUGCCAAAUAACAAAACAGAACCGUAAUUGCAGGUUUACAAAUUACACUAUGCUGUAAUCAGUACAACUCAGUCUAAACAGGUCCAAAUGCAGAAAUUCCAAAGGUAUAUGGUAGCUAGGACAUCAAGAUACAUUUCAUCAGAAGACCUCAACAACCAAAUCCAAGCAAUUCCAGUCAAAACAACCCAUUACAGGCGCAGUUCUUACAUCCUGAUGAACCCAGAACAGCAACAGUAAAUUCGGCUUAUCUCAUUCUACACUACUGCAGUUGCCCUGAAAUUUUACAGGCACCCUUAAAACAUCAAUACCUACAACUUUCAUGUUUUGAUCCAAGGCUAAUUCGGCCUCUAUCUAGGACCAAAAAGUUUGGACAGAAUGAAGAACCAAGAACCCUAAUUUUCCAGAUUUCUUCCAAAACAGAAUUUACUUGCAAUCUUCCACUUUUUCCACCUUCUAGAAUCAUCAACUAUCAUUUCCAAUCAUCAUACAUAACCACAUAAUAACAAUCAUAUGAGAACAGAAAAAUCCUAAUUAAAUAUAAAACUUCACUUAUUUCAACCUAAAUCAUGAAAUCAUCCAUAAAAUCACUUAUUCAACCACCACCAAUCACUAAUUGAACAUUAUCAAGAUCAAAGGAAAGGUUCCUUAGUCACUUACCAUGCAAACCCAAGGAAAGACCCAACUUAGCACCUUUGCUUCUCAAACCACUUCACCACACACCUUAAUACCACCAAGAGAAAGGAUUUUAUGGAGCAAAUCACGGUUUUAACGGUUGGUUUGUGAGAUUGGGCAAGAAAUAGAAGGAAGAAAUUGGAAGCUUUUCUCUCUUUUUGUCUCCAAGAGGUUCGGCCAAGGAGCUUAUGAAGAAGAUGAAUUUUGGUUCAACGUUUUUAAUCAGAUUAUAAAGGUAGUAAAAAUGCGUCAAAAGUCCACCCUUGAGUAAGAAAGUGAGACACUUGUCACCUUUAGGAUUUAAAAACUUAUCUUUUUCGUUCUCUCCAUACAAAAUUCUUAACACAUUGUACAAUAAUAUCACUUAAUACAAAAUUCCAACAAGUUGUCAAAAAUAUAAUGCAUUUACCGCACUUGCGGGUCCCACGUUCAAAAUACGCUCUUAAUUUCUCAAAAACUAACCGACACUAGAAAAAUCAUUUUAAAACUAUCUUUGCUCAUAAACUUUAUCUGGGGAAUUUUUCGAAUAAAGAAAAUGUAGAAAAGGCGGGCGAUUAAAAAAAAUAAACCCUAGAAAAUUAGAAAAUUAGAAAAUUUCCGGGUUCUCAAACUCUUUUUUUUUUUCGGGGCGUCACAAUCUCCCCUCCUUAAAAGAAUGUCGUCCUCGACAUUCCCUCUUGUACCAAUCAAGUCAGGACAUCCCGCAAAAAUCUCUCAAGAGUCAAAUCAAACCCACAGUCCGGCAUCCUAAACUUCAAGCCUAGGAUACACUACAAAGAUCUGAAGCCUAAGCUCUGAUACCACUUGUCACGGCCCCACCUCCCCCUAAGGCGAACCAGAGGGUUCGGCGGGCCGCCUGCCCAGCUCUCGCCGGGACUCAAUCGAUCACUACAGUCCUCAAACAAAUACAAGAUAAAGUCUCAAAUAAAAAUCAAAUAUUCCAACAUUUACAUAUCAAAAGCGAAGCGUCCACGCUUCCACUGUCACUCUGAUCCUUGAUCACAAUUAUUAUACAGGAGGAAGUCCAAAUCUUGACUAUUACACAUCCAAUCAAUUCUAAACGUUCAAUACAAUCCCGAUAUGAAUGAUUACACAAAAGGAAUCCAAAUUCAAUCCAUACAUGAGAUAAUCCAUGAAUAAACACUACAAGCCACAACUUCGCCUUGAGCCCUGUGGAGGGGAAUAAAACAUUUUGGGGUGAGCUAGAAGCUCAGCGAGUAACCAGUAAAAUCAGUUAUCAAAUCAGUUUCACAAUCGUUCAUUUCAAUGAUGUCAUUUCAAUAUGGAGUAUCAAUAAUUCACGAAACAUUUACAAUGGAAAGCGAUAGUAACAUUCAUGAAAAGGAUACGUUCGUUCUCCUGUCAUUUCUAUUGCAUUUGGUUUCAUUUCUGUGCAUUCAUCACCCCGUCCCGUGGCUUUUGGGGCAGGCCCACCAACCUACAAAGGCUAAUACUCGAGUAUACAGAAACGUUCACCAAAGUUCACUAGUCUGCCCCGACGAGCUCCGCUUCAUGGCCUCGAGUACGACCGGUAACAAGGGCAAUGGCCAGCUUCAGGCCAAUAAGGCUUACAUUUCCCAUGCGCAAUGUAGCAUUUAAUAUUAAUCAUUGAAAAUUUUCAUAUAUUUAGGUCUGAGUGCGAUAAAAGUACACACUCGCCUAACAAAACUGCGUUUUUAACAAUCAUUGAAAGGCAAAAUCGAAUUAAUAACAACCAAGCACACUGAUAUCUGCAACACGCCAAUGAUAUGCUAAGGAAAAACAGCUUCCAUAAAGUAACUUUUUGAACAACAGUUUUUCAAAAGUAAAUAAUGACAAGAAAAUGCGUUCAUAAAUAAUUUUACGAAAUAGUUUGAGGUCACUCACCUCCACGGCCCUGAAAACCAUCCAUCGUAUACGCAUUGCCUCCCUGCUCAAAUCCAAGUAACUUAGAUCACAACUCAAUAGCAAAACAAAAGUCCCUUCCCACAACGUUUCGGACAGCACUUCCCUGAAUUUGCUCAACUUUUCCAGCCAUCAUGGCUUCAUUAUUUCCUCAUUUUCAUCCAGGUACACACACACAAACAAGUUCAUCCAAUAGCAUUCAGCAGCUCCCAAGUAGUACUAGUUACAAGCUCAAGUAGGCGAAAAGUCACCGGAAAUGUAAAGUUAAGCUCAAAAUCAGAAAAAUAGUUUUGACCGGUCAGUUUUGCGGUAGAAUGGGUUUAUACCAAAGCACAUCGCACGACUAUUCAGUCUAUCCCAUGCGUACCAACCGCGGAUGGCAUACCACUAUAGUUCAAGAACCUCGUAGCAAAAGACACAGGCCAAAGUGAGAAGGUCACUCAGUCCAGAAUCCCAUACACAACUUAAGUCAAAUAUGCAAAUAACAAAACCAGAACCGUAAUUGCAGGUUACAAAAUUACACUAUGCUGUAAUCAGUACAAACUCAGUCUAAAACAGGUCCAAAUGCCAGAAAUUCCAAAGGCAUAUGCGUAGAUAGACACAUCCAAGCUACAUUUCAUCAGCAGACCUCAACAACAAAUCCAAAGCCAAUUCCUAGUCAAAACAAACCCAUUAACAGCGUGCAGUUCUUACAUCCUGAUGCCAACAGAACAGCAACAGUUAAAAUUCGGCCUUAUCUCAUUCUACCACUACUUCCAUAUUGCCCUGAAAUUUUUUGCAGGCCACCAUACAAACAUCACAUACUGCAACCUUCAUGCUUUUGAUCAAGGCCAAUUCGGCUCUAUCUAGGACCAAAAAUUUUCGCGACAGAUAUGGAAAGAACAAGAACCCUAAUUUUUCCGAUUUCUUCCAAAACAAAUUUCCUUAGCAAUCUUUCCACUUUUUCCACCUUCUAGAAUCAUCAACUAUCAUUUCAAUCGAUCAUACAUACCACAUAACUAAAAAACAAAUCAUAUGAGGAACAGAAAAUUAUCCUAAUUAAAUAUAAAACUUCACUAAUCUUCAACCUAAAUCAUGAAAUCAUCCAUUAAAAUCACUUAUAUCAACCACCACAAAUCAGUCUAAUUGAUACUAUCAGAUCAAAGGAAAGGUUCCUUAGUCACUUACCAUGCAAACCCAAGGAAAGGCCCAACUUAGCACCUUUGCUUCUCAAACCACUUCACCACACACCUUAAUACCACCAAGAGAAAGGUUUUUAUGGAGCAAAUCACGGUUUUAACGGUUGGUUUGUGAGAUUGGGCAAGAAAUAGAAGGAAGAAAUUGGAAGCUUUUCUCUCUUUUUGUCUCCAAGAGGUUUGGCCAAGGAGCUUAUGAAGAAGAUGAAUUUUGGGUCAAGUUUUUAAUCAAUUAGUAAAGGUAGUAAAAAUGGUCAAAGUCCACCCUUGAGUAAGAAAGUGACACUUGUCACCUUUAGGUUUAAAACUUAUCUUUUUGUCUCUCCAAUACAAAUAUCUUAACACAUUGUACAAUAAUAUCACUUAAUACAAAAUUCCAACAAGUUGUCAAAAAUAUAAUGCAUUUACCGCACUUGCGGGUCCCACGUUCAAAAUACGCUCUUAAUUUCUCAAAAACUAACCGACACUAGAAAAAUCAUUUUAAAACUAUCUUUGCUCAUAAACUUUAUCUGGGGAAUUUUUCGAAUAAAGAAAAUGUAGAAAAGGCGGGCGAUUAAAAAAAAUAAACCCUAGAAAAUUAGAAAAUUAGAAAAUUUCCGGGUUCUCAAACUCUUUUUUUUUUUCGGGGCGUCACAAUCUCCCCUCCUUAAAAGAAUGUCGUCCUCGACAUUCCCUCUUGUACCAAUCAAGUCAGGACAUCCCGCAAAAAUCUCUCAAGAGUCAAAUCAAACCCACAGUCCGGCAUCCUAAACUUCAAGCCUAGGAUACACUACAAAGAUCUGAAGCCUAAGCUCUGAUACCACUUGUCACGGCCCCACCUCCCCCUAAGGCGAACCAGAGGGUUCGGCGGGCCGCCUGCCCAGCUCUCGCCGGGACUCAAUCGAUCACUACAGUCCUCAAACAAAUACAAGAUAAAGUCUCAAAUAAAAAUCAAAUAUUCCAACAUUUACAUAUCAAAAGCGAAGCGUCCACGCUUCCACUGUCACUCUGAUCCUUGAUCACAAUUAUUAUACAGGAGGAAGUCCAAAUCUUGACUAUUACACAUCCAAUCAAUUCUAAACGUUCAAUACAAUCCCGAUAUGAAUGAUUACACAAAAGGAAUCCAAAUUCAAUCCAUACAUGAGAUAAUCCAUGAAUAAACACUACAAGCCACCCCUUCGCCUUGAGCCCUGUGGAGGGGAAUAAAAUAUUUUGGGGUGAGCUAGAAGCUCAGCGAGUAACCAGUAAAAUCAGUUAUCAAAUCAGUUUCACAAUCGUUCAUUUCAAUGAUGUCAUUUCAAUAUGGAGUAUCAAUAAUUCACGAAACAUUUACAAUGGAAAGCGAUAGUAACAUUCAUGAAAAGGAUACGUUCGUUCUCCCUCAUUUCAUUGCAUUUAGGUUCAUUCGUGCAUUCAUCACCCCGUCCUGGCUUCUUGCCAAGGCUCCACAACCGCUACAAGUAAUCGUCGAGUAUACCGAAACGUCACCCAAGUUCCAUAGGGAUCGCCGACCGAGUCCGCCCGUUCUGAGCUCGAGACGACCGUAACAAAGGGCAAUGGGCCAGUUCAGGCCAAAAGCUUACAUUCAUGCGCAAGCGUAGCAUUUAAUCACAUUAAUCAUUGAAAAUUCAUAAUUUAUUUAUGUCGAGUGCGAUAAAUACAGCAACUCGCCUAAAAAACUCGUUUUAACAAUCAUUGAAAGCAAAAUCAAUAAUACUAGACACUGAUAUGCAAGCACGCAUGUAUGUAACCGAACAUUUCCAAAAGUAACUUUGAAAACAGUUCAAAAGUAAAUAAUGCAAGAAAUGGUUCAUAAAUAAUUUUAGAAAUAGUUUGAGGUCACUCACCUCCACGGCCCUGAAACCAUCCAUCAUAUAGCAUUGCCUUGCUCAAAUCCAAGUCUUAGAUCACAAACUCAAUGCAAACAAGUCCUUUCAAAAUUCGGACAGCACUUCCUCUUUUCUUUCUUUACUUUUCCAGCCAUCAAGGCUUCAUUAUUUCCUCAUUCCAACCCAAAGGUACACAACAACAAGUUCAUCCAAUAACCAUCCAGCAAGCUCUAAGUAGUACUAGUACAAGUCAAGCUAGGGAAAAGUCCGGAAAUGAAAGUUAAGCUCAAAACCAGAAAAACAGUUUUGACGUCAUUUUACGGUAAUGGUACCAAAGACACAUCGAGUAUCGGAUGAAGGUUCAAGAUACACCGUUUCGAAGCUAAAAGACAGGGCUACAACAUUGUAGAAGGUCACUCAGUCCAAAUCCCAACACAACUAAGUCAAAUAUGCCAAAUAACAAACCAGAACCGUAAUUGCAGGUUUACAAAUUACACUAUGCUGUAAUCAGUACAACUCAGUCUAAACAGGUCCAAAUGCAGAAAUUCCAAAGGCAUAUGGUAGAUAGAACAUCAAGCUACAUUUCAUCAGAAGACCUCAACAACCAAAUCCAAAGCAAUUCCAGUCAAAACAACCCAUUACAGGUGCAGUUCUUACAUCCUGAUGAACCCACAACAGCAACAGUAAAUUCGGGCUUUAUCUCAUUCUACAUACUCAAUGCCUAAAUUUUACAGGCACCCCUUAAAACAUCGGAAUACCAACAACUUUCAGGUUUUGAAUCCAAGGCCAAUCGCGCCUCAUAUCUAGCGACCAAAAUGUCGCGACAGAAUGAAGAAUCAAACCCUAAUGUUCCGAGACUUCUUCCAACAACAGAAGUUUCCUUGCGAAUCUUCCACUUUUUCACUUCUAGAAUCUAUGCAACAUCAUUCCAAUCAUCAUACCAUAACCACAUUAAUAACAGAUCAGAUGAGAACAUAAAAAAAUCCAAUUAAAUAUAAACUCACUAAUUUCACCGUAAAUUCAUGCAAUCAUCCAUAAAAUCACCUUACAACCACACAAUCACUAAUUGAACAUUUAUCAAGAUGCGAAAGGAAAAGCGUUCCUUACACGCUUACCAGUUUUGCCAAACCCAAGCGAAAGACCCACAGCUAGCACCAUUUGCUUCUCAAACCACUUCACCACACACCUUAAAUACCACAAAGAGAAAGUUUAUGGAGCAAAUCACGGGUCUUAACGGUUGGUUUGAGAUUGGGCAAGAAAUAGAACGAAGAAAUUGGAGUUUUUCUCUGUUUGUCUCCAGAGGUUCGGCCAAGGCAGCUUAUGAAGAAGAUGAAUUUUGAGUCAAGUUAAUUCAAUAGUAAAGGUAGCUAAAAAUGGUCAAAUCCACCCUGUAAGAAGGGACACUUGUCACCUUAGCGUUUAAAACUUUACUUUUUGUCUCCUCCAAUACAAAUAUCUUAACCAAUUGUACAAUAAUAGCACUUAAUACAAAAUAUCCAACACCCAGUGUCCAAAAAAAAUUAAUGCAUCUUACCGCACUUGCGGGUCCCACGUUCAAAAUACGCUCUUAAUUUCUCAAAAACUAACCGACACUAGAAAAAUCAUUUUAAAACUAUCUUUGCUCAUAAACUUUAUCUGGGGAAUUUUUCUAAUAAAGAAAAUGUAGAAAAGGCGGGCGAUUAAAAAAAAUAAACCCUAGAAAAUUAGAAAAUUUCCGGGUUCUCAAACUCUUUUUUUUUUUCGGGGCGUCACAGGAUAGGUUAGAUUCAAGUGAUAAAAUCAAGAGAACAAGAAUCAAAAUUUAUUUUUUUGUUUCUUUUAAAUCAAAAGGCGGCUAGGGUUUUGGUAGAAAAAUAAAUAGAAGAAAAAAAAAGAAAAGAAAAGGUUAUUAACCUGAAUCAAGAGCCGAAGCUCUGAUACCAGAUGAUACGAACUCGACCCAGCAAGAACCUGUCUUGAAGAACCAAGUCGAUCAGGCAGCGGAAGGAUCUAUCUUGAUCAGGCUAUGGAACAAUAACUACCAUACUAGACCUAAAGAGAACCCGUCUCUCCAAACCUAGUGGAUUGGUUAUUGGUUAUGGAACAAUAACUACCUUACUAGACCUAAAGAGAACCCGUCUCUAAAAACCUAGUGGAUUGGUUAUUGGCUUGAAAGAACAAGAUGAUGUGAUCAUCUUGCCUUGAACACCACAAGUAUCCAAGCUAAAUACUUGAUAUUGUUCAAGGAGAAACGCAAGUUCCAUCAAGGAACUCCAUAAAAGGAGACAACUCUCUUUUUAUUAAUUCAUCCUCCAUCUCCCCCAAUAGUUAAAUAAAGUUGGCUAUUUAUAGCCAUACAAGACUCAAAACCAUAAUCUAAAUUGGAAACAAUACAAGCUUCCUUAUUUGACUUGACACAACUUCCUAAAUAAAUUUGAAAGUAAUUAACUACUUUUCUAAAACUCUAAUUCAAUUAGAAUAGGAAACUAACUGACUCAAUUGGCUUAACUAUGGUCAACAUGACCUUAGCCUUUAUUUCCCUUAAUAACUCAAGACUAACUAACAAGUAUUGCUGGAACUUACUUAAAUAAAUAACAAGAAAUAAGCAUGACAAAUCUUCAAUGAUUCUUGAACCCGAUUGCACAAUCAACCAUCAAUCAAAUUUUCUUGAAUUUGAAGGGAAUCCAAAUCUUCAUGUUCUCAUCAUUUCCAAGUGUAAAAAGGAUGGCAAUUACUUAAAAUGAGAACUACAACUUUCGAGCUCACUAUUCUUUGAAUGCCAAAUCAAUAACACUAUAAUUCUUCAAUAUACGAUGUACAUGCUACAAAUCAUCCGAAUAUACAAGCCAAAGUACAAGCCAAAAGUAUGAGCUUGAACAACUAGUAUUAUAAUAUAGUAUCGGCCAAAUACAGGUUUAAAAUUCCUAAUGCAACUGGUGCUAUUUUUGUCUCUCUCAUCCCCGCAUCCUGUUAAGGAAAACAAAUAAAGGAAUGAGCUAACAGUCCAGUGAGGUUCCAAGAAAACAUGCAGUCAAAUUGGCAAGAUAUUUUCCACAUAACUCAAAACUUAGAAUGAAGAUAAUAAACAGUUACAAAUAAUGUCAUGGACCGUUCACACAUUCAGAUAAGUACUUUAACACCAGCAAGAAAAAGAAUACGGUACUGAUACAGUGGCUUCUGCCAGGUUCUAGGCAGAGCACCUAGGAUUCAAACAUUGAUACAGCUGAUAUGGUGGCUCCUGCUAGAAUUCAAGCGUAGCACUUAGUCCCGUACAGUGUUUCACUUGCAGCCAGUUCCGCAGCAACAUUUUCCAAGUCCGUUGACACUCCGUCAAUGUUUGAGAUAUAGUAACAAGUCCAGUAGAGCACCACUUAUCUCCAUCCACCCAUCAACCCCCUAUCGGGACCGAACACCAAAUAGAAAUAGUGGUGGUAAUACUCGAGUAUACCCAAGUAAGAACAAGUAUGAUCGAUGAAAUAACUCUCCAAUCAACUUAAUCAAGAUAGAGGUACUGAGACGGGAUGAGAGGCACCUCCUACUCAGAUUGAGUGUGGUACAUGCUACCGCUCAGCACUUACAAGUCAAACACAAGUACAGGUCAAUCAAGUUCAAGCAAAUACAAAAUCAUUCAAGAAGAGAAGGACGAGUGCGAAUAAGGACACACUCACCUAACCCUGACCAAGUUACAAAUAAUUCCCAGCAUGUCACAUUUCAAAGCAUUUCAAGUAUUUCAAGUCAAUAUACAGGUCACAUGCAAAUCAAGUUACUUGUACAUGCAUGAAUGAGAUAUCAAGUAUUUAGUCGAGUUAGGUCAACUGUUAUAAAGUACACACUCGCCUAUGAAAUGUCAAAUCAAGUAAUGUCUAGCAAACUUCUAGCAACAAUGAGCAGGGAACAUGCAGUUGGAACACUCACCGCGUUUAGAAAAGUUAACUUUCCUCGGUGAAAGGAUCCGCGGGUUCGCUUUCGAAACCUGUGAUCAAAUACAUAAGGUAAGUGAACUAAAAAGUUCACCAUUUUAAAACAUUUGGAUAAAGUAGUUGUGGCGACCCCACUUCCCCCUAAGGCGAACCAGAGGGUUGGCGGGCCGUCUGCCUAGCUCUCGCCAGGACUCACGCAAGCAAGCUAGCAAAAAUCCUUCCGAAGUAUAACCUAAUCUAUUACAAUAUCGUUUCCCUCCAAAUAGGCCGGUUUCUAGAAUCACAUUAACUUCAGAGAUAACAGUGCCUUAAGAUAGCCAACGUCGAUUCUUGAAAUACCUUCCCGAUUACAACCCAAGAAACAAAACAUACAAUUCAAAUACAUCCUUACAAGCCAAGUAACAAAUUCAUACAAGCCACAUACAAAUCCAGGGUUUACACUUUUCCCACUUCAAGUGGCAACCCAAGGCAAAACUACAUUGUUUAACUCGAAUUACAAUCCUAAAAGUAAACAAUCUAGUACUACUUCCGGACACCCUUAGUCUCAAACCCUGUAAAAGUAAACCACAACGUGGGAUGAGCUACACAGCCCAAUGAGGUUCCAAGACACUCUAACAGUUCAAACAAAUCAAGAAAGUUGUGCAUGUCAUAUGCAUGGUUCGAGGUUACACAAUGGCAGGUUAUCAUGAGGUGAUAAUCAUUACUCGGGUAAUUGCUACUUUGAAAACACAUGUAGUAGUAGUACUUUUGCUGGUAACUUUACUAUGAGUACAACUCAUAAAUUAUCUAAAAUCACUAACGUAUUUUUGGAAUGAAUGACCAUAUACAUAUAUUUUCAUGAAUUUUAGUCAAACAAAUAAUGGCUCGUCCGACUAGAAGAACAUUACAAGGAUUGCUUCGUCUCAGAGAUUAAUGCUCAUGAGGAGUCUUACCCGAGAAAUGUCGACUAGGAGAGCAAUAACAGUAUUAAUAGUAAAGCAAACACAAAAGGAUACAGUACUCGGUCCACUUCCCGUCCUUAUAACUCCCAUCGGUAACUCCUUCGGUUGACUGGCCAUCACCUUAUCCCUCCAGUGGUAGUACUCGAGUAUACCGAAACGGUUGUCCAGGGUUCCAACCUACCCGACCGAGCCCAGUCCUGGCUCGAGUAGGUCAGUAACCGAGGCAGGGCCCAAGUUCAGCUUAGAGCUUACAACAUGCACAGGUAACCAAGUAAUUCGACAAAAGGUAAAAUUCAUCAUUUGAGUAGGUCGAGUGAGGUAAAGUACACACUCGCCUAUCAAUGAUGGACAACUUCAUAUAACAUGUGAUUCAUGAUAAUCAAGUAAUCAAGUGGAUACUUAGCACGUAAGCACGUAAGCAAUACAAGUUGAUUUCAUGGAAGCAUGUAAUUCACGGAUAUCGAAUAGUCAUGUGGGUUGGUAAACGGUUCACGGUUCAUGGUUCACGGUUAACGGUUGAGUAGUGGCGGUUAUUUGGCAGGCAUUUGCCAUAUUAAUUGGCCAUCAUUGGCCGUUAUCUUAUUUUUAUCACGCGAGAGUCGAGGAGAUUCACAACACGUAAACUGGUCGAGGGAUUCACCCAACGACGUCACAACACGUAAGAUAUUCACGAAAAUAUUUCACACAAGUCACCAUUCGAAAGGCUAGUGUGAUAAAGUACACACUGCUCACUUCGAUGGAUCAAAAAUCAUUUUCCAAAUUAUCACAUAUCGAGUCAAGAAAGAACUUUAACCAAAUAAGCAUAGAACAAGCAGGGAUACUCAUUUUACAAAACCAAGUAGGUUAAGCAAGUAAUUUAGCAAAUUAAACAUGUAUCGAGUUCAUAUAGUCAUUUGAUAUGGUUAAUCAUUUAACCAAUUCCUGUUGGUAUACAAUGCAAGUAUUCAUUAUUUAUAUAGACAUGAGUAUGGUAAAAACUUAACACUUAAUAAUCAUGAAAUGAGCAUGUCCUAGACUUAUUCAAUUACGUGUUCCUAUAUGGAACACUCACCUAGCAACAAGAGCAAUAGGUUCAAUUUGAAGUUCAAGCGUCCUCUGUCGGAUCCUCUUGAAGGUCCUCGUGUGCGCCUGAACAAAUAGUAAUAGUCUAUCAUUUAUAAUCCCUACUAUUGAUGAAGAUCGUAUCAUAGUACAAUCUUAGGAAAAAAUCUCGUGAAACAAGCCUUAAUUAUCCUAAAUCGAGAUUCUCAAGCGGGGUUUCAAGGUACAAGAGAAAUUAAGUCUACAUCAUGAAAAUCAUGGAUAAAACAUUUGAAUAAUAUCGAAGGAAUAAGGAGUACUUGAAAAACUCCCUUCCGUGAAAUUCGGAAAAUUUUCAGUUUUGAUACGAUACUUUGAAAAAUCGUAUCUCACAUUCUACAUGUCAAAAUUAGAAAGAUUGGUACUAAUGGAAACCUCUUCCAAAGUACUAAAAGUUCCUAGAAUACACUUUUCUAAGAUUCCACAUGGAAAGCAUUCAAAAUAUUCAGUUAGCAAGUCUUUGCCAAACCUUGCAUCAAAUCUGUCUAAAAAUCAGGGUUUUCAAGGACAGAGCAGGUUUCAUAUUUUGAUCACAGAUCACUCAAAUUAACUCGGAAUUUGGCAUGGUUUAAGGCGUUGGAAAAAAAUUCAUAGAGCUAUAAUUUCACAGAAGAAAUCAUUAUGAAAUUCGGCACACAACUAGCUCGAAUUCGAGCCACAAGUUGCAGCCUCAGCAUUUUGUUCUUGUAAAACAGAGAAACAGAACAGCCGACUUAAAACGGUUGGUUUGGCUCACAUACAUGGAAUCAGAAUGUGCAUUUUAUAUCGUCGGAAAGGUUGGAAUGUCUAGUUUCAAAUUCCGCUGACGGCACUCGAUUUUGACAUCGGAGCUCAAAAUUAUGGCCAAAAUACGAAAGCUGGUCAGAGCAUUACAAAAACAGUUCCAGAUUUACUAGCUUUGUGAAAUCAUUUUAUUUGACCAACCAAAACUCAAUAUUUUUCAAUGAAACUUUGUACACCAUAUACUCAACAUAUAAACAUGAUAUACAAGUCAUGAAACCCUCAAAAUUUAGCACAAGAGUGGUGCGAUUAAAACAGGGCAAAACUGAACAUUUUUGAACUAUGCAUCCCUCGGCACCAUCAGAAAUUUUCCAGCACUUAGUUGGUCAUAGAACCAAUUUUUUCCUCGGUUAGAUCAUGGUAUUAAGUACUCAAAUCCAACAUGCAAAUACUUGACUAGCUAAUCAGAUCAUCCAAGUCAUUGUGGGAAUUCAUAGAGCCCACUCACCAAGUUUCCAUUAAAACUCAAAAGAGCCACCAUCGGCUAAGCUGGAAAAAAAAUUGCAGCAGCUAUGUUUCAACAUUUUUGGUCAAUUCAUCCAACGGAUCCAGUACUUUACAACUAAAUAUCUUACAAGACUUAAGACACAUAUAUUUCAUGCAUUUCUAAACAUUGUUUGCUAAUGAAAAAUUCCAGAAACAACUGCAAAUUUUUGUUUCACUCCCUUGGCAAGUCACGUAAAUUUUCCAGCAUUUACUCAGUCAUAAACAAAAUUUUCCUUCGGUUAAAACCUUGUAUUUGGCACUUAAAUCUCACAUGCACAACUACUGAACUAAUUAGCUAGCAUUUCCAGUCCAGAUUUGUUAUUCUUGGUUUUGAUGAUCACAAAAGUUUGUUGAAAUGUUUAUACAGUCCAAGAAAGUGAACACUUUGAUCAGGCCUGAUGGAACAAAGUAAGCAUAUGUUCGAUUAACUCCAGACUACGAUGCUUUGGAUGUGGCAAACAAGAUUGGAAUAAUAUAAACAAAUUUAGUCAUUGUUUUGUUCCGAUCAAAGAUACUGUCUUUUAAGUAUGACAAUUUUGUUAGUCUUGGUUCCUUGAAAUGUUUUAUCUAACUUUCUUCAAAUAUAAGUGUUGUUGCCUAUCAAAGAAUCAGGUACGAAUAUGUCGUGAGCAAAAACAGGACACUCAUGUCGGACGGCCGAAAGUAAUCUGUCGGAGGUCCGAAGGGAUGAAGAACAUCAGGAAGGAGUUUCUGUCGGACGCACAUCGAUCGUGUCGGACGUCCUAAAAAUUCCACAAAGCUUUGAUGACUCUCUGCCAAGACACUGUCGGACGCUCGCAAGGAAGCAUCGGACGUCCUGAAGGAUCGGACGCAUGCUUCGGACGAACAUCAAGAUCAUCGGACGUCCUAAAAAUUCCUCAAAGAUUUGAUAACUCUCUGGACGACGUUCGGACACUGAAGCUCGGACGAUAAAAUUCCAUCGGACAUCCGAACUUCAAUUUGGCUGAUUUUCGGACGAUUGGUUCGGACGAUAAUUUGAUCGUCGGACGUCCGAAAGCCCCAACGGCUAGCUGACUCUUCAUCUGCCUUCUAUCCGUUGGAAGCUUUAAUGAAGCCCAUUUUUGUUCCCCUUUAAAAACAAACUGUUCUGAACGAAGUAAGAACUUUUGCACACUUGGUCUACAAGAUCUCAAGAGAUAUUUUAGCUAGAAAAUAGUCUCCAAAGUUAGAUUUGUUCUCUAAGUGGUGUGAACUUCUUGUGGGCUUUUCUCUUGUGGUUGAAAGUUUCAUUAGUGUAGCUUUGUUGAGGGUUAUCCGAGUGUUUGUAAAACUUCUUAGCUUGACUAAGUGAGGCUUAGGGCAAGGAGGAAGUGCUCCCUCCAUUGUACAUCUAGUUGAUCAUAUUUCAUCAAAGAGAAGUUGCUCAACCUUGUGAUUGGUCUUCAAGUUUGAGGAAAGCUUGGUAGACAAUUGGUUUGAUUUCCUAUUAUUCUUUUUGUUUAAUAAAAUUCUCAUUGCUUAUAUAAACUUGUUUUUCUGAUCAAUCUUGCUAUUGUCUUCUAAUCUACUUGGUUGAUCUUUACUAGAAAAGAAGGUAAAUUUUUAUUAAAGAAAAAGUGCAUAAAUUUGGUUAGGAUUUUAAUCAACCCAAUUCACCCCCCCCUCUUGGUUGUCUUUGGGACUUACAAUUGGUAUCAGAGCUUGGUCUCUUUGAGAUUAAGCUCUAACGGCUUGGAGUAAAGAUGACAACCAGUCAUGCUAUGUUUGUUGAGGGGCAAUCUGUUACUAGGCCUCCCAUGUUCAGUGGCUCCAACUAUGUUAGCUGGAAAGAACGGAUGAUUAUCUUUUUGCAAUCUAUUGAUAUUGAACUAUGGUUUAUUGUGAGUGAAGGACCGCAUGAAGCUAACUUUCUUGAUGCAGAUACAGGGUUGCUUCGGCCAAAAAUGAGAGCUGAAAUGAAUGCUCAAGAUAGGACUAACCUCACAUUGAAUGCCAAGGCCAUGAAUGUUCUUUAUAGUGCCCUAGAUUCAAAUGAAUCAAUUAGAGUAAAAGGCUGCAAAUCGGCCAAAGAAAUGUGGGAUAAACUAAGAGAAAUCCAUGAGGGUGGUGACAACGUUAAAGAACAGAAAAAGGCUAUCUUGGUCACAAAAUAUGAAUCAUUUAGAAUUGAACCUCUUGAGGAUAUUGACAAAAUGUAUUGCAGGUUCACUGACUUGAUCAAAGAUCUCGAGGUGUUGGGCAAAGAGUACACCUUGGGAGAGAAGAACAGGAAAAUUCUCAAUGCGUUGGGCAAAGAAUGGGAAAAUAAAGUGACUGCAAUAGAGGAGGCUAAGGAUUUAAGUUCUGUGCCUAUUGAAUCUAUCAUUAACUCACUAACCUCUUAUGAGUUGAAACUGAAAUCUAAAGUGCAGGAGGAAGAGGAAGCUAGAGCAAAGAGAAACAUUGCUCUAAAAACUACUCAAGGUGAAGAUGAUACAGCUCACUUGGAUGAUGAAGACUCGGAUGGUGAUGAUAAUGAUCUUGCUCUCAUCACCAGAGGCUUCAAGAGAAUCUUGAAUAAAAGAAAGUUUAGAAGGGGAGGACCUAGCAAUCAAUUCCAGAAUCAGCCAUCUAUCGCAAAGUACAAAGGAAAACAGGAUUUCAACAAGAAACAGUUGGACAAAUGCUUCGAAUGUGGACAGAUUGGACACUAUGAAAACGAAUGCCCCAUGAAGAAGAUGAAAGAUGGAAAAGCUGAUCGGAAGCCAAGAUUCAACAACUUUCAGAUUACUUGGAAUGAAUGCAACUCCGAAGGGGAAGUAGAAGAAGAAGAAGAAUCAGCUCAAAUGGCCUUCAUGGCUAUUGGAAAUAAUGAGGUAACUUCCACACACUCUCAAUCUAAAAGUGAUGAUGAUGAAGAUGAUGAUCUUGAAUCCUUUGUUGAAAAACUGCAUAAUGCCUUGAAGGAAUCUUAUGAUAAAAACAAGCAGUUAAACCAGAAAUUGGCUUUUCUCAUUCAAGAAAAUGCAAGUCUUUUUCAACAAAAUAAACAACUAAAGACUGACAAUAAAAGUCUUGUAAGAGCCGGAUGUAAUGUUCAAAAUGAGCUUGAUAGAAAGACAAAUAUUUGUGAAAUGCUGAAGGAAAGACAUUGUGAUUUGAAAAAAAGGAUGGACAACUUGGAUGAGACUUUGAAAGCAAGAAAGCAGGAGUUUAUCAAAAGGAACAUGUCAUCUACACAUCCUACUACUUUUCAAAGAACAUUUGCACACAACAAAAAUGCACAUGGUUUCACAACAUAUAGAAGAGGUGGAUUGAGAUAUGUCAAACCAGUACAUGUUAAGGACUCUUCCAUUAUGUGUGGUUUUUGUUGUCAAAGAGGGUAUUUGAAAGGUGAUUGCUAUGUGAAAAGAAAUCUGAACAAAGGGAUGAAAUGCAUGUGGUUAGUUAGAUACAAUGCUAACUAUUGAGGACCCAAAAAUUAAAAUGGGUACCAAACACUUUCUCUUUUCAGGAAAAAUGCUCAAACAAGUCCAAAUGGUUUAUUGAUAGCGGUUGCUCAAGGCAUAUGACCGGUGAUCCCUCUUUGUUCAUAAAGCUGAAAUCAAAGUCAAGUGGAAAAGUGACAUUUGGUGAUGAUGUGAAAGCUAAGACAAUUGGAAUAGGUGAUGUUGGUAAGGAUGGUGAUACUUUUGUCCAUAAUGUGCUCUUAGUUGAUAACUUAAGUUAUAACUUGCUUAGUGUUAGUCAAUUGUGUGAUAAAGACUUGAAUGUGUUGUUUAAAAAACAUGAAUGCAUUGUGCUUGAUUCCAAAUAUAAUAUUGUGUUCAAAGGUAAGAGGUUCAACGACAUAUAUAUUGUGGUUCUUGAUAAAAUUGAUUCUUCUAGCUUAAAAUGUCUUAAAGCUUCAAAUGAAGAUCCUUGUUGUGGCAUAGAAGACUUUGUCAUUUUAACAUGGAUUUACUAAAGGAAAUUUCGAAAAAGGAGUUGGUUAGAGGCUUGCCAAAAAUCAGUUUUGAUAAGGACAAAGUAUGUGAUGCAUGUCAAUUUGGGAAGCAAACAAAAAAUUCUUUUAAACCUAAGAUGUGUGUAUCUACUUCUAAACCUUUGGAACUCUUGCAUCUUGAUUUAUUUGGUCCCACUCAAAUUACUAGCUUGGGAGGUAAAAGAUAUUGUUUUGUAAUUGUUGAUGAUUAUUCUAGAUACACUUGGGUGAUAUUUCUUGCUCAUAAAGAUGAUGCCUUCAAGAAUUUUACUUCAUUGUUUGCUAAAGUGCAAAAUCUGCUUGGGUUAAAAAUUGUUAGGAUUAGAAGUGAUAAUGGGACGGAAUUCAAGUAUUGUGGUUUUCCAGAAUUUUGUGAUCAUAAUGGUAUAACACAUGAGUUCUCUAUUGCAAGGACUCCACAGCAAAAUGGUGUUGUAGAAAGGAAAAACAGGACUCUUCAAGAGGCUGCUAGAACUAUGUUGAAUGAAUGUAGGUUGCCUAAAUAUCUUUGGGCUGAAGCGGUAAACACUGCAUGUUAUGUGAUGAAUAGAAUACUCUUGAGACCUAUUUUAAAGAAAACUCCUUAUGAGCUGAUUUUUGAUAAGAAACCUACGGUUGGUUAUUUCAAAGUAUUUGGUUGUAAAUGCUUUAUUUUGAAUCUAAAGGAACAUCUUGGUAAGUUUGAUAAAAAAUCUGAUGUAGGAAUAUUUUUGGGGUACUGUGAGAAUAAAAGAGGAUAUAGAGUUUUUAAUAGAAGGACUCUUGUGAUUGAAGAAGCUAUACAUAUAACAUUUGAUGAAACCAAUGAUGAUAAUUCCAAAAGUUCGUGUGAGGAUGAUGAUGUAGGUGUUCGAGAAGGAAUGGAAAAGCUAUCAAUUGGAAAUGAAGGAAGCUCUAAACCAGCAGCAACUGAAAUGGAAAAUGAAGUUCAUAAUGAUCAAGAAGAGGAAGAUGAAGACAGAAAUGAUGAUCCACUCAAAGAUCUUCCCAAGGCUUGGAAAUUCAGCCAAAAUCAUCCAAAAGAGCUUAUAAUUGGUGAUCCAUCCGAGAAGGUAAACACUCGUUCCUCAUCUAGAAAAUUGAUUGACAAUUUUGCUUUAGUUUCUCUUUUUGAACCUAAAAAUAUCAAUGAUGCUUUAAAGGAUGAAAACUGAAUUUUGGCAAUGCAAGAGGAACUUAAUCAAUUUGAGAGAAAUGAAGUUUGGACACUUGUUAAUAGACCUCAAAAUCAACCUAUCAUUGGCACAAAGUGGAUUUUUAGAAAUAAGUUGGAUGAUAAAGGUGUUGUUGUGAGAAAUAAAGCCAGAUUAGUUGCUAAAGGAUAUGCACAAGAAGAAGGAAUUGAUUUUGAUGAAACAUUUGCUCCCGUAGCUAGAUUAGAAUCUAUUAGAAUGCUUCUUGCUUUUGCAUGCUUUAAAGGCUUCAAAUUGUUUCAAAUGGAUGUUAAAAGUGCUUUUUUAAAUGGUUUCAUUGAUCAAGAAGUAUAUGUGGAUCAAUCUCCCGGUUUUGAAAAUACAAAAUUUCCAAGUCUUGUGUUUAAACUAUCUAAAGCUUUAUAUGGUCUAAAACAGGCUCCAAGAGCUUGGUAUGAAAGACUAAGUGGUUUUUUGAUUGAAAAUGGUUUCAAAAGGGGUGUUGUGGACACCACACUUUUUACUAAGCAAGUGUUGAAUGACCUUCUUAUUGUGCAAAUAUAUGUUGAUGAUAUUAUUUUUGGUGCUACUAAUGAGUAUCUAUGUAAGGAGUUUUCCACCACUAUGCAAAGUGAAUUUGAAAUGAGUAUGAUGGGAGAAUUAAAUUUCUUCCUUGGACUUCAAAUACAUCAAGCUCUUGAGGGAAUGUUUAUAAAUCAAGCAAAAUAUACCAAGGAAUUGCUGAAAAGGUUUGGCAUGGAGAACUCAAAGCAAGUUGGAACUCCAAUGUGCACUUCUACAAAACUUGACAAAGAUGAAGAAGGUAAUCAUGUGGAUGAAAAGCAUUAUAGAGGUAUGAUCGGAAGCCUACUCUAUUUAACCGCAAGUAGACCUGAUAUUAUGUUUGCUGUUUGCUUGUGUGCUAGAUUUCAAUCUUGUCCAAAAGAAUCACAUUUGAAUGCUGUAAAAAGGAUUUUUAGGUAUUUGAAAGGUGACUAUGGUCUUUGGUAUGCUAGAUCUAAUGAGUUUGCACUAUAUGGUUAUUCGGAUGCUGAUUUUGGAGGUUGUCGUGUGGAUAGAAAGAGUACUAGUGGAACUUGUCAUUUUCUUGGAAAUUGUUUAGUCUCUUGGUUUAGAAAGAAACAAUGUGCAAUCUCUCUGUCUACAACCGAAGUGGAAUAUAUUGCUGCUAGUACAUGUUGUGCUCAACUUUUAUGGAUGAAGCACACCUUGAAUGAUUUUGGAUUGUUGUAUGACUGCAUGCAUAUAUUCUGUGAUAAUACUAGUGCUAUAAAUUUGACCAAAAAUCCUAUUCAUCAUUCUAGGACAAAGCACAUAGAUAUAAAGCAUCACUUUAUUCGUGAUCUUGUUCAAAAAGGUGAAAUAUGUGUAAAUUAUGUUUGUUCUAAAGAUCAAUUUGCGGAUAUUUUUACAAAAGCUUUGCCAUUAGAUCAGUUCAUUCAUCUAAGAUCAAAAUUAGGAAUAAUCGAAAAAUCAUCUUAAUUUUUGGGUCUUCGGACGUCCGAAAGAAGAUGAACGGACGUCCGAUAAUGUUCUUCAGCCAUUUUCCAGAUUGCGCCUGUUCGGACGCAGCUGUCGGACGCGCAACGUCGUUCGGCCGUCCGACAGUGCAACGGAUCAAUUUUUUAAAUAACCUUCUUUCUCAUUUGCUUCAGACUCUUCCUAUUCUAUUUCCUCUCGAACGAAAACUCUCUCUUCCCUCACUCUCAAAUUCGUACCAUUUUGAAGCUCUCAUUCUCAAAUUGACUCAAACAAAACUUUUUCUGACUGAUUGCGAUUCAUUUCUCCUGAUCAUUUCCCCGAAUCGUAUAACAUUUCACAAAUUCCCAAAUUUCCUUCAAAACCCUACUUUCUCAUAACCGCUCUGCCAUAUCUUGUUUAAGGCCUUUUUGUCCCAAAAUUUCUGUGCAAAUCACUUCCCUACUACUGUGUGCAUCAUUUGCAUUCUUCAUUCCACACAUUUCACACAAUGGUGAAUCUGAGAGGAGGAAAGGUUACUGCCGGACGCAAGCAUCCACUCAGGGAUGAGGAUGAGGAUCUUCCUACGGUCAAACGUUCAUCCAAACGCUUCAAGAGAGGAGCCAUAAAGGGUCAAAUGUCACGGCCUACUCCUCAACCCACCUCUCAGCCUGAAUCUGGACAGGGAACCUCUGCUCAACCGCCUCCAAAAUCAGCCCCACCCCCUACAUUCUUUGAUGAUACAGCAAGAGACAAACACUCCUUGAUAUCCCAGAAAGGUGUCAUCCCUCAACGUACUGUAAACCCUUCUGAAUUUCGUCUCAUAGGUUUAGAAACCAUUCUGAAGUUGUUUGCUUUUCAGAAAUGGUCGCAUAUCAUUUCUAUGCCAAAUGUUUACUAUCCUGAAAUGCUGCAUCAAUUUUUUGCUAAUCUUAGAAAAGGGUCUGACCAAACUGAAAUCUUUUCCAGGGUUAAUGGGGUAGACUUAAUCUUUGACUCUGAAAUUGUGAAUUCCAUUUUAAAUACUACCAUUGAACGUGGGUGCAAGGAUAAGAUUGCAAAUUUCUUUUCCUAUGAAGAGCACCCUAAUGCUGAUAAUCAUUUUGAUGGGGCUAAAAUGAUGACCUAUUUUAAAAGAAGUUUUUCCUCCCCUGCUGAUGCUAAACUGAAUGAUCUUGCCCCUGUGAAUUUAAUUGCUUUUUCUAUCAUUUCAAACCUGCUUGUGCCUACUGAUGGCCAUAGAACUGAUGCAAAUAAAAUGGAGUUGUACCUCUUUUAUUGUUUUCGAGAAAAAAUUCGGAUUGAUUUUGGUUUUGUCAUGUGCAAGUUUUUACUUCGCUAUACCACUGACUCUCGCAGAAAACUAUCCUAUGGAAAGUUUCUUCAAAAGAUUUUUGAGUUUUUCAAAGUUCCAAUUUUAGGUGUUUGUCCCAAAGAAGCAUCUUCUUAUGCCUUUACCAAAGGAUACUUUGAAAGGAAAAAUCUUGUUUUUAAAGAUAAUAUGUGGUCUUAUAAAGAGGCAUCGUCCAGUGAACAUAGGUCUAAAGCUGCACAUGAUCCUUCAUCUAUUCCACUCACUCCCAUUCAUCCUAGGAAAUCUGCCACUAAGGCAUCUUCCUCCUCCAAUGAUGGAGUGAUUGAGCGUCUUCAUGAACUCAAACAGCAUGUUCUUCUUCUAGAACAUGGCCUAAUGCUCACCAUGUCCUCUGAGCAACAAACUACCUUUCUAGACAAAAAGAACCUUCUCUUUCCCCCACCUGUGGUUGAGGAAGUGUCCCAUGACAAAGAGCCACACCCCACUGAUCCAAGCUCAUCAAUUCCAGACCCUGGUUCAUCAACUCCUGUGACUCCUCAUGGUCCUUCCACAACAGAUAAAGGCAAGGAACCAGUUGAAGUGGAUGCUGAAGCUGAUGAAGAAACUGAAGAGGAGGACCUCUCGCAAUAUCAGCUCUCUCGAAGAACUCCUGGAUCCACAUAGUUCACUACUUAGGACAUUUGCAUUCUGUUUGUCUAUUUUAUGUGUUUUGUAAUGGUCAACAUUUGUAACCUUCUUUUAAUGUUUCUCUUGUUGGUACUGUAUGUUUAUGUUAAGUAUUUUGAAUGAUGACUGUGUUUAUGGAUGUUUAAGUAUUUUGAUGCAAUGAAUUUGGUUUUCAUUGAUGAAUGUGUUUGUGGAUGUGUUGAUGUGAUUGGUUGCCCUUUUGUGAUGACAAAAAGGGGGAGAGGACUGGAUUGAUUGAUGAUUGGUAUUGAUUGAUGAUUGAUGAUUGGUAUUGAUUGAUGAUUGAUGAUUGGUGAUGUUGGAUAUGUUGGAUUGAUUGUUUAAAUUGGCUGAUAUGCUUAAUUGUCAUAUUUUUGGAAAAUUGUUUAACUCGGAUGGGCAGCCAAGUGAGGGGGAGCUUUUUCAAAAUUUUCAAAAUUUUAUGAUUCACUAAAUAAGGGGGAGUUCGUGAGAAAGGGGGAGCUUAUAAUGCAAUCAUCAAAUUUCAUUUCAAACUUUUGUUUUGUCAUCAUCAAAAAGGGGGAGAAUGUUAUUCUUGGUUUUGAUGAUCACAAAAGUUUGUUGAAAUGUUUAUACAGUCCAACAAAGUGAACACUUUGAUCAGGCCUGAUGGAACAAAGUAAGCAUAUGUUCGAUUAACUCCAGACUACGAUGCUUUGGAUGUGGCAAACAAGAUUGGAAUAAUAUAAACAAAUUUAGUCAUUGUUUUGUUCCGAUCAAAGAUACUGUCUUUUAAGUAUGACAAUUUUGUUAGUCUUGGUUCCUUGAAAUGUUUUAUCUAACUUUCUUCAAAUAUAAGUGUUGUUGCCUAUCAAAGAAUCAGGUACGAAUAUGUCGUGAGCAAAAACAGGACACUCAUGUCGGACGGCCGAAAGUAAUCUGUCGGACGUCCGAAGGGAUGAAGAACAUCAGGAAGGAGUUUCUGUCGGACGCACAUCGAUCGUGUCGGACGUCCUAAAAAUUCCACAAAGCUUUGAUGACUCUCUGCCAAGACACUGUCGGACGCUCGCAAGGAAGCAUCGGACGUCCUGAAGGAUCGGACGCAUGCUUCGGACGAACAUCAAGAUCAUCGGACGUCCUAAAAAUUCCUCAAAGAUUUGAUAACUCUCUGGACGACGUUCGGACACUGAAGCUCGGACGAUAAAAUUCCAUCGGACAUCCGAACUUCAAUUUGGCUGAUUUUCGGACGAUUGGUUCGGACGAUAAUUUGAUCGUCGGACGUCCGAAAGCCCCAACGGCUAGCUGACUCUUCAUCUGCCUUCUAUCCGUUGGAAGCUUUAAUGAAGCCCAUUUUUGUUCCCCUUUAAAAACAAACUGUUCUGAACGAAGUAAGAACUUUUGCACACUUGGUCUACAAGAUCUCAAGAGAUAUUUUAGCUAGAAAAUAGUCUCCAAAGUUAGAUUUGUUCUCUAAGUGGUGUGAACUUCUUGUGGGCUUUUCUCUUGUGGUUGAAAGUUUCAUUAGUGUAGCUUUGUUGAGGGUUAUCCGAGUGUUUGUAAAACUUCGUAGCUUGACUAAGUGAGGCUUAGGGCAAGGAGGAAGUGCUCCCUCCAUUGUACAUCUAGUUGAUCAUAUUUCAUCAAAGAGAAGUUGCUCAACCUUGUGAUUGGUCUUCAAGUUUGAGGAAAUCUUGGUAGACAAUUGGUUUGAUUUCCUAUUAUUCUUUUUGUUUAAUAAAAUUCUCAUUGCUUAUAUAAACUUGUUUUUCUGAUCAAUAUUGCUAUUGUCUUCUAAUCUACUUGGUUGAUCUUUACUAGAAAAGAAAGUAAAUUUUUAUUAAAGAAAAAGUGCAUAAAUUUGGUUAAGAUUUUAAUCAACCCAAUUCACCCCCCCUCUUGGUUGUCUUUGGGACUUACAAGAUUCAGCUCGGUUGUUACCAAAAGUUCAUCAAUCAACCAGGAAGUUGUUCGGCCACUCUCGGAUGAGCUUGCAGGCAAGCCGAUUCUGUUUCAUCUCUUCUUUUCUAGCUUAAUCCGAACUAACUAACUUCAUGCAAGACUUAAUCACCUAGUUCUUAGUUAGUUAACAACAUUUAAAAGCUCAGAUUACUCCAAAGAAACAAGAUUAAAGCUGCAUUUCUGUUUCAGCUUCUCGGCAAAACUAUUUCCAUCAAAAAUCAGAUUUUCCUUUUCUUUGAUUUCCUCAUCCGGACACUCCAACCUCACAUGCAAGUCCAUAUACAGCUUAAUCUACCUAUAAUCUAUUGGUUUCAGUCCAGAGAUUACCUCUACUGGAAGCUUACACACGCGGCAGAAGCUGAAGUUGUCUUACUCUCCUCACGGCUAACUCACGCACGCGAUGGAUGAUUGGCUGCUGUCUUGGUUGCCGGUGGUUGCAGGUGUGGUGGUGUUGCGGUUGGAGAUGGAUUGUAGCUGGUUGAAGUGAAGGUGGAGAGUGCAGCAGCAGCUCACGCACUGUCUCUUCCCUCAAGCUCACGGACAGAACAGAAGACUCGCAGCUCACACGCUUCCUUUCUUUUCUUUUCUCUCGGUUGCAGGCUGCAGCUCUCUCCCUCUCAAUCGAUGAUCACGAGGUAAGGGUAUGAAGUGAAGUGGUUGUGUUUGAGGUGAGCUAAUGGAGAGGAUUUGCGGAUGGAGAAGGGUUGAGUGUUGAAAGGAGAAAGAAAUUGCAUUCGACAGGAAUGGAAAUGUUGUCUUUUAUGGUUGGCCGAGAGUGGUUUUGUGGUUGCAUGGUAGUUUUCCGAGGGUGUGGAGGCUAUUUUAGUCUUUUCACGUCUCUUCCAACUUUUCCACUUAAGUCCUAAAUUUUAACCAACUUCUAAAGUUUACCCCAAAAGUAGUUUAAACAUCUAAUGAUACACUAAUCUCGCAGGAGUUCGAUUAUCGAGAUUUUAACGUCAUAAGUAUACUUAGUGUUCUUGUAACGAUUUUGUCUACAAUUUAUCAACCUCCUCUUAUUACUAAGGUUCCUAUAACCCUUAACAUUAUUAACGAUGAAAAUUAGCUAUUGGAAUUCAAAGAAUUAAUUAUUAAGUCAAUGAAAUAUUUUACCUUAGAAAUAUUAAUUUAGUAAAACAAAACCAAGUAAUUUAAUAGUUUAGCACAAUUAUAUUAUUUUUCACAUAAAAUUAUUAUUAUUAUUUUUUUUUUUAAUAACUCAAGAAAAUAAAAUAAAUUCAAAAUAUAUGUAAUUUCUCAAAUCGAUUAUUUACUCCAGUCGCGUAUUUACUAUUUUCACUUAACGAGCCUUCAGAAAUUAAUUUUCGAAACAAAUCACUUUAAAAAUAUAACUAAGCUAUGGAUAUAUUUAAUUAGGCCUAAAAAGGUUAGAAAAUAAUAAUCGGAGAAAUCGGAUGAGUAAAUACUUAUUUGAGCCAAUAAAAUAAAUAAAAUAAGCAAAAUUUUCGGGUCCUCACAACCUACCCUCCUUAAAGAGAAUUUCGUCCUCGAAAUUCAUAUCUUCUGAAAUCUCUUUCCCACUUGUUUCUUAUAACAUUCCACCAUGCUCGAGCCGGUCCUUCAAGUUGGAACACAGCAAAAUUUACUUCUCUCUCCUCGGAAUAAUCUAGUGCAUCAAAUAUAUUUCUUAUAUUCUCCAACCAAUUCUCAGCUAUAUCGGGGUUUAGACCCCCAGAAAAUUUAGGAGGGAAAAACUUUUGAAAUCUCUCUAAAGCCCUAUCCUCUCCUAUUUCUUGGUUUCCAAGUUGGUUCACUUGUCCAAUUCCCUGGCCUUGUUGGGACACCAAUCGCUCUAGUAUGUCUGUCAUGCGAGUCAAAACUAACCCAAUUUGGUUUUCUACCCCAACCCUAGGUUCAACGUUUCGGUCGGCGGUAGAUUCUCUAUCUCCUUCUUGAUUUCGAUGUCGUCUAGGUUGACGCCCACGUCGUCGUCUCCCAGCUUCCAUUCUCACAACUAAUCUAUACAUGUACGUGUAAAUGGCUUACUAAACCAAAAAUUAUCUAUGCACACGUGUAUUUAAUAAUUUUCAAAAUGAGCAAUAAAACUAUAUCCACAGAUAACAUUUUCACAAAUGACACAUUCACAGUUAACAUAGAAUUUAAACUAGUCUCAAUUAAGUUGCAUGCCAUUACAAAAUUAGAGCUAAUCAAGUCAUAAUAAAAGUUGAAAUCAAAGGUCAUUUAUCCAAAGUUUAAAAAUCUUUAGCAAGCCAGCCAAUAACUAAAGUACAUUCAUCUCCAAAAAUAACCAACCUUGGGAUUUCUAGUUAAAGCCUCAAGUCCCAUGUUCAAACUCAGAGAAUAUGUACAACUGGCUCACUUAAGCGUCAAGUGGGAAUCGAGUCAAUUCGCACUAGGACUGGCCAUCUCCAGAUGCAAAUCAACUCAAUCACUACUAUUCCUCAAAGAAAAUUUCACAAAAGGCUCACUCAAGCAAUCGAUCCAAGAUUCACAUUCAAUUUCAUAAAUAUACUUACGAAGAUUACAAGCCCAGAGGAUACCUCGAAUCUUACGAUUUACCCAGUCAAAUUCGAUCUUAUAGAUAUCAACUAGUACCAAUGUUCAAGAAACUCAACUAUCACUUUUCAGAUCAAUUCUCACACAAUUCUCUUCAGUUUCUUACAAUAUAAGAAACCCUAGUGUGCAAACCCACUUAAAAACAAACACUUCAAUAUUACUCAAUCAAUAAUCAAGUGUUAAGGUCACAUUCCACUUACUAAACAAUCAAACUCCACAGUCCGGCAUCCUAUGCUUAAAGCCUAAGAUACACUACAAAGAUCUAGAGCCUAAGCUCUGAUACCACCUGUGGCGACCCCACUUCCCCCUAAGGCGAACCAGAGGGUUGGCGGGCCGUCUGCCUAGCUCUCGCCAGGACUCACGCAAGCAAGCUAGCAAAAAUCCUUCCGAAGUAUAACCUAAUCUAUUACAACAUCGUUUCCCUCCAAAUAGGCCGGUUUCUAGAAUCACAUUAACUUCAGAGAUAACAGUGCCUUAAGAUAGCCAACGUCGAUUCUUGAAAUACCUUCCCGAUUACAACCCAAGAAACAAAACAUACAAUUCAAAUACAUCCUUACAAGCCAAGUAACAAAUUCAUACAAGCCACAUACAAAUCCAGGGUUUACACUUUUCCCACUUCAAGUGGCAACCCAAGGCAAAACUACAUUGUUUAACUCGAAUUACAAUCCUAAAAGUAAACAAUCUAGUACUACUUCCGGGCACCCUUGGUCUCAAACCCUGUAAAAGUAAACCACAACCUGGGAUGAGCUACACAGCCCAAUGAGGUUCCAAGACACUCUAACAGUUCAAACAAAUCAAGAAAGUUGUGCAUGUCAUAUGCAUGGUUCGAGGUUACACAAUGGCAGGUUAUCAUGAGGUGAUAAUCAUUACUCGGGUAAUUGCUACUUUGAAAACACAUGUAGUAGUAGUACUUUUGCUGGUAACUUUACUAUGAGUACAACUCAUAAAUUAUCUAAAAUCACUAACGUAUUUUUGGAAUGAAUGACCAUAUACAUAUAUUUUCAUGAAUUUAAACACAAAAGGAUACAGUACUCGGUCCACUUCCCGUCCUUAUAACUCCCAUCGGUAACUCCUUCGGUUGACUGGCCAUCACCUUAUCCCUCCAGUGGUAGUACUCGAGUAUACCGAAACGGUUGUCCAGGGUUCCAACCUACCCGACCGAGUCCAGUCCUGGCUCGAGUAGGUCAGUAACCGAGGCAGGGCCCAAGUUCAGCUUAGAGCUUACAACAUACACAGGUAACCAAGUAAUUCGACAAAAGGUAAAAUUCAUCAUUUGAGUAGGUCGAGUGAGGUAAAGUACACACUCGCCUAUCAAUGAUGGACAACUUCAUAUAACAUGUGAUUCAUGAUAAUCAAGUAAUCAAGUGGAUACUUAGCACGUAAGCACGUAAGCAAUACAAGUUGAUUUCAUGGAAGCAUGUAAUUCACGGAUAUCGAAUAGUCAUGUGGGUUGGUAAACGGUUCACGGUUCACGGUUCACGGUUAACGGUUGAGUAGUGGCGGUUAUUUGGCAGGCAUUUGCCAUAUUAAUUGGCCAUCAUUGGCCGUUAUCUUAUUUUUAUCACGCGAGAGUCGAGGAGAUUCACAACACGUAAACUGGUCGAGGGAUUCACCCAACGACGUCACAACACGUAAGAUAUUCACGAAAAUAUUUCACACAAGUCACCAUUCGAAAGGCUAGUGUGAUAAAGUACACACUGCUCACUUCGAUGGAUCAAAAAUCAUUUUCCAAAUUAUCACAUAUCGAGUCAAGAAAGAACUUUAACCAAAUAAGCAUAGAACAAGCAGGGAUACUCAUUUUACAAAACCAAGUAGGUUAAGCAAGUAAUUUAGCAAAUUAAACAUGUAUCGAGUUCAUAUAGUCAUUUGAUAUGGUUAAUCAUUUAACCAAUUCCUGUUGGUAUACAAUGCAAGUAUUCAUUAUUUAUGUAGACAUGAGUAUGGUAAAAACUUAACACUUAAUAAUCAUGAAAUGAGCAUGUCCUAGACUUAUUCAAUUACGUGUUCCUAUAUGGAACACUCACCUAGCAACAAGAGCAAUAGGUUCAAUUUGAAGUUCAAGCGUCCUCUGUCGGAUCCUCUUGAAGGUCCUCGUGUGCGCCUGAACAAAUAGUAAUAGUCUAUCAUUUAUAAUCCCUACUAUUGAUGAAGAUCGUAUCAUAGUACAAUCUUAGGAAAAAAUCUCGUGAAACAAGCCUUAAUUAUCCUAAAUCGAGAUUCUCAAGCGGGGUUUCAAGGUACAAGAGAAAUUAAGUCUACAUCAUGAAAAUCAAGGAUAAAACAUUUGAAUAAUAUCGAAGGAAUAAGGAGUACUUGAAAAACUCCCUUCCGUGAAAUUCGGAAAAUUUUCAGUUUUGAUACGAUACUUUGAAAAAUCGUAUCUCACAUUCUACAUGUGAAAAUUAGAAAGAUUGGUACUAAUGGAAACCUCUUCCAAAGUACUAAAAGUUCCUAGAAUACACUUUUCUAAGAUUCCACAUGGAAAGCAUUCAAAAUAUUCAGUUAGCAAGUCUUUGCCAAACCUUGCAUCAAAUCUGUCUAAAAAUCAGGGUUUUCAAGGACAGAGCAGGUUUCAUAUUUUGAUCACAGAUCACUCAAAUUAACUCGGAAUUUGGCAUGGUUUAAGGCGUUGGAAAAAAAAUUCAUAGAGCUAUAAUUUCACAGAAGAAAUCAUUAUGAAAUUCGGCACACAACUAGCUCGAAUUCGAGCCACAAGUUGCAGCCUCGGCAUUUUGUUCUUGUAAAACAGAGAAACAGAACAGCCGACUUAAAAUGGUUGGUUUGGCUCACAUACAUGGAAUCAGAAUGUGCAUUUUAUAUCGUCGGAAAGGUUGGAAUGUCUAGUUUCAAAUGCCGCUGACGGCACUCGAUUUUGACAUCGUAGCUCAAAAUUAUGGCCGAAAUACGAAAGUUGGUCAGAGCAUUACAAAAACAGUUCCAGAUUUACUAGCUUUGUGAAAUCAUUUUAUUUGACCAACCAAAACUCAAUAUUUUUCAAUGAAACUUUGUACACCAUAUACUCAACAUAUAAACAUGAUAUACAAGUCAUGAAACCCUCAAAAUUUUGCACAAGAGUGGUGCGAUUAAAACAGGGCAAAACUGAACAUUUUUGAACUAUGCAUCCCUCGGCACCAUCAGAAAUUUUCCAGCACUUAGUUGGUCAUAGAACCAAUUUUUUCCUCGGUUAGAUCAUGGUAUUAAGUACUCAAAUCCGACAUGCAAAUACUUGACUAGCUAAUCAGAUCAUCCAAGUCAUUGUGGGAAUUCAUAGAGCCCACUCACCAAGUUUCCAUUAAAACUCAAAAGAGCCACCAUCGGCUAAGCUGGAAAAAAAAUUGCAGCAGCUAUGUUUCAACAUUUUUGGUCAAUUCAUCCAACGGAUCCAGUACUUUACAACUGAAUAUCUUACAAGACUUAAGACACAUAUAUUUCAUGCAUUUCUAAACAUUGUUUGCUAAUGAAAAAUUCCAGAAACAACUGCAAAUUUUUGUUUCACUCCCUUGGCAAGUCACGUAAAUUUUCCAGCAUUUACUCAGUCAUAAACAAAAUUUUCCUUCGGUUAAAACCUUGUAUUUGGCACUUAAAUCUCACAUGCACAACUACUGAACUAAUUAGCUAGCAUUUCCAGUCCAGAUUCAGCUCGGUUGUUACCAAAAGUUCAUCAAUCAACCAGGAAGUUGUUCGGCCACUCUCGGAUGAGCUUGCAGGCAAGCCGAUUCUGUUUCAUCUCUUCUUUUCUAGCUUAAUCCGAACUAACUAACUUCAUGCAAGACUUAAUCACCUAGUUCUUAGUUAGUUAACAACAUUUAAAAGCUCAGAUUACUCCAAAGAAACAAGAUUAAAGCUGCAUUUCUGUUUCAGCUUCUCGGCAAAACUAUUUCCAUCAAAAAUCAGAUUUUCCUUUUCUUUGAUUUCCUCAUCCGGACACUCCAACCUCACAUGCAAGUCCAUAUACAGCUUAAUCUACCUAUAAUCUAUUGGUUUCAGUCCAGAGAUUACCUCUACUGGAAGCUUACACACGCGGCAGAAGCUGAAGUUGUCUUACUCUCCUCACGGCUAACUCACGCACGCGAUGGAUGAUUGGCUGCUGUCUUGGUUGCCGGUGGUUGCAGGUGUGGUGGUGUUGCGGUUGGAGAUGGAUUGUAGCUGGUUGAAGUGAAGGUGGAGAGUGCAGCAGCAGCUCACGCACUGUCUCUUCCCUCAAGCUCACGGACAGAACAGAAGACUCGCAGCUCACACGCUUCCUUUCUUUUCUUUUCUCUCGGUUGCAGGCUGCAGCUCUCUCCCUCUCAAUCGAUGAUCACGAGGUAAGGGUAUGAAGUGAAGUGGUUGUGUUUGAGGUGAGCUAAUGGAGAGGAUUUGCGGAUGGAGAAGGGUUGAGUGUUGAAAGGAGAAAGAAAUUGCAUUCGACAGGAAUGGAAAUGUUGUCUUUUAUGGUUGGCCGAGAGUGGUUUUGUGGUUGCAUGGUAGUUUUCCGAGGGUGUGGAGGCUAUUUUAGUCUUUUCACGUCUCUUCCAACUUUUCCAUUUAAGUCCUAAAUUUUAACCAACUUCUAAAGUUUACCCCAAAAGUAGUUUAAACAUCUAAUGAUACACUAAUCUCGCAGGAGUUCGAUUAUCGAGAUUUUAACGUCAUAAGUAUACUUAGUGUUCUUGUAACGAUUUUGUCUACAAUUUAUCAACCUCCUCUUAUUACUAAGGUUCCUAUAACCCUUAACAUUAUUAACGAUGAAAAUUAGCUAUUGGAAUUCAAAGAAUUAAUUAUUAAGUCAAUGAAAUAUUUUACCUUAGAAAUAUUAAUUUAGUAAAACAAAACCAAGUAAUUUAAUAGUUUAGCACAAUUAUAUUAUUUUUCACAUAAAAUUAUUAUUAUUAUUAUUAUUUUUAAUAACUCAAGAAAAUAAAAUAAAUUCAAAAUAUAUGUAAUUUCUCAAAUCGAUUAUUUACUCCAGUCGCGUAUUUACUAUUUUCACUUAACGAGCCUUCAGAAAUUAAUUUUCGAAACAAAUCACUUUAAAAAUAUAACUAAGCUAUGGAUAUAUUUAAUUAGGCCUAAAAAGGUUAGAAAAUAAUAAUCGGAGAAAUCGGAUGAGUAAAUACUUAUUUGAGCCAAUAAAAUAAAUAAAAUAAGCAAAAUUUUCGGGUCCUCACAGUAGUCGAACCCCCAAGUGCAAGCUUUUAGUCCAAAAGUAUCACCUAUCCUUGUUCAAACCACAAGAGAAAACUUUUGACGCUAAAGUCAAAAAUACAAAUUUAAACGGGAUAAAAUAAGGUUUCAAAUGAGGCGAGGAUAUGGUAAGGUGAUAUAAUAACGUUUACUCUUAUCAAAACAUUCAACAAGCGACUCGGGAAAAAAAAUCACUCGUUCUUUAAAAUACCCUAGUUUUAAGUGAAAACUCAUUUAUAAGUAGUGAUCUAGGGGUUAACAAGGCAUAGUGGUCUAAAAGCCACAAAUUCACCAUCCAAGUACCAAGUUAUAGUUAGAAUUCUUCUUCAUAAGUCCUAUCAUCCUAUACUAAACCUUUAACACCAUCAAAACUGAAAUUUUUGAAUCACCACUCAAACCAUGAAAUUUCUCAUGAAAACUACCAAAAUCAGGCUCUAAAUUCACUCUUAUGCAAGUAUUAAAAGAAAAGAGGGUUUCUUGAUAUAGUUACCUUGAAACCCUAUGAAGAUAUGGCAACAAAGUGCUUCUUUCUCCAACAUCUUUCCACCAAAGCCCUUAAUCCUCCCUAAGUGUCAACUUUUAUGGAGUGAUUUGCAAGAUUAAGGUGAAAACUCAAGAUUCAAGCAAGAACUAGGGGUUGAAGAUGACCUUUCUCUUCCUUUUUUUUCUCUUCAUGGGGGCGGCCAAAUGAAGAAAAAAAAUGAUAGGUUUUGGUCAAAUUUUUUUGGUUUAUCAAAGGAUAAGAAAGGUUGGAGUCAAAGUCAAAAAUCCAAAGCUUUGUUGACAAAUGUCCUCUAAUGGUUAAUCCUCAUCCUAUUGUCUUCCAAAUGCUAAAAUAUCUAGCCAACCUCUAAUUAUCCCUUAACACCUUAUAAGAUAAUAUCCCUUUACACAAAACUCCUCCUAAUCUUCAAAAAUUUAACGCACACACCUCACUAGUGGGUCCCACUUGCAUAAUACAUUACGAACUUAACAUGUACUAACUCAUACAAGGAAAAUGAUUUAAAAACUUGACUCACUUUGUAAAAAUAUCUAGAAAAUUAAGGCAAUAAAGUAAAGUAAAGAAAAUGUAUUCGAAAAAAUAAAACAAAAUAAGGAAAUUUUCGGAUCCUCACACCCUAAGGGGAGGUGGGGUCGUCACAAUUACUCUAGUUGCUCCUUCAUCUACUUUUUUAAAUAUUCUGCACAGGUUUACUAUGGAUAACUAAUCUUCAACUCUUUCUUUGAAAAUGGCCAUGUGGGUUCCUGGGUAGUGGAGCCGUGGUUUUUCUCUGAAUCUCCCACCAAAAUACAUGUGUAUGUUAACUUUAUCCUCGGAUUUCUCCUCUGAUGCUGCAUGAGAAGCAAUAAAGCUCUCACUUUUUAGUAAUUUAUCUUUCGCAAUGACACAAAAAGCUAACAUAACGGAACCAAAACAAACAAUUCAUUAUAGGUGGGAUUGGGGACUACAUUUGACUACAACAUGUCUUCAUGAACCCCAUAUUAAGAUAACAACAGAUUAUCUACCAAUAUUAAUCUACUUUUUCUUGUGAUAAUGAUAUGAAUAUAAUAGCAAGACAGUAGUUUCAUGACACUUCUGCUCAUUAAAUAACUUGAUAGUACAAAUUGAAAGUUUCAUGACACUUCUACUCAAACACAAACAUUUAAGAGGUUGAGUAAUAUUCAAAGACAACCAUAUAUUCAAAUUCGUCAACUAAGAAUCUCUACCAAAAAGCAGAUUCUAAGGCUUUCCAUUUCCAUAGUCAACCAAACACAAAACCCUAACAAAUCUAACAAUCAAUAAUCAAAAUAGCAAAUUGAGGGCAUAAAUCAAAAACCAUAUCUUAACAACAUCCGUAAAUACAACAAAAAUCUUGUCUUUGUUAAAUAAUGGCCUCACUGAUAUCAAUAAAUCACAAUUUCCCUUCCACAAAAUACGCCAAAACCCAGAUCGAAAUAGACUAGGGAUGAUAUACGAACCCAUUUUUCUUCGAUUUUUUGUCGCAAAUCUUCACUUCCUCAUAUUUCCCAUCGAUCUUGUUGUUUGAUUUAAAUAACAAUCGAAAAUUUUGCUGAAAAUUGGCUAAAAAAAGGUUGCUCUCUCUCUCUCUCUCUCUCUCUCUCUCACUUCGUUUGUUUUGAAAGAAUGAAAGUGCUAAAUUAUUUCGGCUAUUUUUUGCUUAUAUUAUUAGGAUAUUUUCAUCUUUUCACUCAGUUCCGUCUGUUUUAACGAUUUCCGUCGAUGAUUUACCUUAUUUCAAAUCAUGAGGUAAUGACACAUAUGAUAUGAAAUCACAGAGGGCUUUUCUGUAUGAUAGUUAUACCAUAGGAGGUUUUCUAUUUUUAACCCUUUCUUUAAUCCCAUAUUAGACGGGGGCUACCUCUAGAACCUGUGGAAUUAAGUGCUACGUCGGAUGGAGGCCACUUAUGUGCAUGCCAUUCUCCUUCAAUGAAUUAUGUUUAUAAAAUAUAUGAAAUGAGAUGACAAAUGUUUUUAAUUGAUGUAUGCAUAUGGUAUGGUGUGAUCAAAUUUGCAAAUGUAUAUAGUAUGUAUAUAACUACAUGAUCCGACAGGGGAGUAAGUACUAUCUAUUGGGUGUACGUCGCUCAACCCACAUCUCAUUUUUUUUUCUUGCAGAUCAAGAAAACCAACUCGUGUACAUUUAGAAGAUAAGUGAGAGGUAAAUAGGUAGAUGUUUAAAUUCAAGAAACUUAAAGCAAAGCAUUUUGUAGAUGCAAUUUAGUGAUGUAUAUGUAUUUCAUUGAUAUCUGUAAAAUUUAAAUUUUAGUGAAAUUGUAAGUUAUAAUCAUGAUGCCUUGUAUUUAUGGAAGUAAGGUCUCAAACAUACAGCGUGCCAUGUUGCAAAUCUAGUUCAGGGAUUCGAAUUCGAGGCGUGACAUUUAAUGGUAUCAGAACUAGGGUUGCAAACGAAUCGAACCAUUCUUGAGCGGUUCGAGUCAAGAUCGACUUGAGCUCGAGUUGGCCGAAUCAAACUCAAGUGCAAAAUAUUAAGUUCUCGCAAGCUCAAGUGUAUAUAUAUAUAUAUACAUAUUAUUUUAAUAAUAAAAUUACAUAUAUUAUUAUUAAUAUUUUAUUAUUUAUUAAGAAAAAAAUAUUAUUUUAUUUAUUUUUAAAUAAAAUAAAAUAAGUAUUUUUAUUUUUUUCGAACUCGAACUUCAAAAUUGUCAGUUCGUCAAGGUCGAGUCCGAGUUUAAUAAAAUUAAGUCAAAACUCGACUCGAUUCAUUUACAGUCCUAAUUAGAACUUAGGCUAUGUGAUCUAAAAGUAUGUGAAAUGAUGUUUGAAAUAUUAGUGAUUUUGAGAAUUGAAAUGAGAUUGGAACUUCCCGCCUUUUUCUUUGUCAACUUUAGCGUGUUAUUCUCCUAUUGCUAAGUAUCAUAGAGUAGUGGUAGAGGCUGAAGUUGGUGUAUGUAUCCACUUCCUCCUAUAACUCCACUAUUCAAACUAUCUCCCACUUUCUCUUCUAUAUACCUGCAACUAUUAUGUAGUUAUUUAUCAGCUCAUUGGAAGCACCUUGCCAUAGUUAAGAUACAAGUAAAGGCAUUUUUUAAAAUAUAUAUUUAUAUUGAGCCAAAGAUAUGCGGAGUAUUACAAUAGUAAUAAAAUUUUAACAAUUGAGAAGUGGGGAUGCAUCUCUUUGUUGAAAGGACAAUAGGUAUUUUGAAGAACUUUAGGAGCUGAUUCAACUCCUAUUGAUUUGAUUGAUUCAAAAGGUUGGUCAUUGCAAAUCACAGCAUGAACAAUUUCUACGCAGAACUAGCAAACCAAACAUAUUUUUUAAGCUAACAACCUCAAGAACAACAUUUCAGCUCAUCAAACACAUAGAACCUGGCAACAAUGCACCAAUAUAUCAAAAUAUUUGGGUGCUAGCUCAAUAAUUACUUAGUUGAUAAUGAGGAAUAUAAACUUCAGAAUCAUAACAAUCAAUAAUGAAUGGCCGAGGCAGAAAGCAAGCUUUGGUCUGGGCUUGCAGGUGAAUGCCAUCUUCAGUUACCUGCACCAGGAGAAGCCAAUUAAGCAACUUUGUACUGCUGAGUGAAGCAAUGCAAAAUGGUAAAGAUGUUGUCAUACUAAAAAAGCAAAACUAAUUAACCUACAUAAAAGAAAUUAACAGCCAUAAAGCAUUCCAUGAUGCAAAACUGCAACAAGAGAUAAUAGUUUUGUUUACUUCUGAUCCAGUGGUAACUAGUAUAACCGAAACUACAAUUCUUAUUUCCCAAGCAUGCCCAUAGAAUGCUAAUAUAUAUAACCGAAGCUCUCUCUAUUUCAUCAAGGACAGAAAUUAUUUAUGGUCCUAAAAGCUGAACAUGCUACAUAAAGGUUUAUGGAACAAGAUUCGUCGCAAGAGUUAUGAUGAAGCAGUUGUGGGAAUGAGGUCAAAGUGUUGAGUGGCAGCUAACAAUUUUGAGUUCCCCUUCACUUUAAGAAUUAGCUAUCAAAGUUCAUUAACUACAAUUAGCAACAAGUCCACCAAUCCCAUCCAGCUUUUGUUGGUAACUUACCAACAAAUCCAACUUAAAUAGGUACCUUGUUAACCUAUAUUGCAGAAUGCGAAUGAUAAUUUGAUAUAUAUACUCAGGCUGACAUUCCCACUAUGGUCAUGUUCCUUCCUUUUGUUUAUUGGACUGUGUUUCUAAACAAGCAGGUAGAGUCAAGCUCCAAUCUUAGCAUCAAAUAGACCUAUCAUCCAAUCUUAGAUAAAGAAAUGAACAGGUGAAAUGUCAACAUAGCUUCAGCUGCUAGCAAUGCAAAACUGUCUCUGUUGAGUUUAUGAAAAAAUGGGGUUCCAGAUUUUUUAAAAAAAAAAAAAAAGGUUAUUUGUGUCUCUAUUGCGUUUAAGAAAUGUAUUGUAAGUGGAUACAUAAGCAUAAAAAACCUUUAAUAGGUUAUGCAUGGGGAAACACAUUCAAGCUUAUUCUAAAACAUCAACACAAUUUUACGAGUGUUGACCAUCUUAUCUCAGUCAUAACUUCGUGUGAAGCAGCUAGUUAUCUAGAAGGGUGACCUGCUACAUGUACACAGUAGUUACACAAAUCAAGAAGAACCAUGUUUGACAGUUCCAUCUAAUUACAUACUUAAAUGAAGGAUGGGAACUGCCCACCAGGCAUGAUACAAAAAUAGUAAAAAUUGUAAAACGAACUAGCAAACAAAGUUUGAACUAUUGACAACUUAGGUUUUCAUCGAAAGGUAACUUCUGGAAAGAAUGCAUGUUGAAACUUUUCCCAGAUUCACUAAAUAAUGACUGCAUAAAAUGGUUGCUUCAAAAGGAUUGUGAGUAUGGUUUAUACCAGACAUUAAUGUACUGAAACCACUUCAACUUUUUAAAAGAUUUGUGGGUACUAAUACAAGCUCUUCAGCUAAGUUGAUCAAGUGAGGACAGUUUGAGCUUGAUUUUCCAACCGAAUAUGUCAUUCGAGUUUUCAGAAGUUUGUGGCUCUUCAAUUAUCAUUAUAGCAAAGGCGUUAUUUGAUGCACUUCUCUCUUCAUGUUCCAGAGCCCCUUACUUCUGUCCAUGAUUCUAAGGUUAGAUACUGUGCAAGAAUGUGCCACUUUUCACUGCUAUAGCCAAUAUGAACUUCACUUUAUGUUUCGAAAUUUAUUCUUUUUUAGUUCAAAAUAAAUUUUUUGUUUAAUUUUAGUUCAGUUACUGGACAUUUUUAGCAUAAGCAUGGAAACCACUCCACCCUUUCAUCUGUUGCAUAUAUGUGUUUAUUGAUGAGGUUUUGAUAUAGCAUAUAUGCAUGUAUUUUGCAUCCAACUUCAUUUACAAUGCAAAAUUAACCAAGUUCACAUAAGUAAAACUUUGAAAAAGAAAAGAACAGAAAAAGUUAGGAAAAUGAACACUGCAAAAUGGCAUUUAUCUAAAGUCAUAGAUGCAAAAAGUUUGGGAGGGCUAAGAGGACCUUAAGGAGGAAGUAUGUCAGACUUUGUCAUCCACUCCUCUACUGUUAGGACAGACAUGAUAAAUCAUUCAACGUUCCACAAUUUCAUAGUUAAUUGAUUUGUAUUCGAGGACUGAGUCAGGGGUCCACGUAUAACACCAAAACCAAAUGAAAUACCAGGGAAAACGUACUGAUGUUUGACUAUUUCAUGUUUUUCUGAAGGAAAAGCAAAUCAUUAUGACUAGUUAGAUUAAUAGGUAGGGUUUAAAUUGGAUUCCUUUGAUCCAGAUCUAGAUCCAUUAAAUUUAGUUAGAUCCAGACCUGGACCCAAACCCUUAUGGGUUUAAAAAAAUAAAUCCAGGCUCAAACUCUCAUGAAUCUGGGUAUCCAAUGGGUAUUCGUUGUAUUUUUCUAAAUAUACUAAAGUAAAAUAUAUAGAGUUCAAAAAUAAUAUAAAUACCAUCCAAUUUUUACUUUUGAAUAAUAAAAUUAAUAUUCAAAAAGUUGAAUGCAAUAUUAUGAUCUAAAAAAAGAAUUAUUAUUAAUUACUGCUAUUUAUUUUCAAAAUUCUAUACCCAUAUCCAAUCUUUUACUUGUUUGCCGUUACUUUUUCUUCUUUACUUUUCUCCUUAUCCUAAAAAAGUUUGUACAAUUACAAUGACAACUAAAAUUAGUUUGAAAAAAUAAAACAAUCAUGAAGUCUUACUAUAUUUGAUUUAAUUCCCAUAGAAUAUUAAAUUAUUUUAUAAAUUUACUUGUGUGUGUUUGGAUUUGGGUAUGGGUCAUGGACAACUAGACCCUACCCAAAUCCAUGACUCUCUUACAGGAUUUGGAUUUGGGUAGGAUCUAAAUUUAAGAAAUUAAAUUCAAACCAUAUCCAAGUAUAUUGAAUCUGGAUUGGAUUUGAGUAAAAUCCAACCCAUUGACAUGCCUAAUUAUGACAGUAACGACAAAAGAAAGCAACAAAUAAACCAAAUUGUUAUUGUGUGUGUGGUCCCCAUCCCCCCCCCCCCCCCCCCCCCCCGGCAAAAAAAAACCCUCAAUAGAUGUUGACAUUUAUUACUACCCAAAAUUAAUAUACCAUGCAUCCAGCAGGAAAAUCUGCAAGUCAUUACCAAGAUAGAUGUAAGAAAAACAUUUGGGGAAGAGAAAAUGCUUGCAAGAGGGCCAGCAUUAAUGUCAUUGUGCUUAGAGGCAGAAGAUAGCAAAUGAAAAAUAAGCAAAGAGAUUUAAUUAUGAGAUUGAACAAAAAGAAUAAAACAUUUUUUUUUGUCCUCACUGAUUUGUACAGAACGGGAGUAUGAAAAUGAAUCAUCAAUGUCAUGAAGUCAAAGCCAUUAGAGAGUCUUGACAUUAAUAUACUAUAAUUGAGUGAGAUCAUCAAGAGCCCUUGAAGGCUGUAGAAGGUUGAAACUGUAUUUAAGUAAUUCAAGCGUCAAUAUUGCUGGAUUAGAUAUUAACUUUAAUGAUAUAGAUAGCAAAUGACCUCAUGUUAUGUAUUCACUCAUAAUCAAGCUCCACUACUUUGUUAUCUAGGUUGAGCCAUAUUCUCCUGCUCUGAAAAGUUUAAUACACCGAAAGAGUUCUAAAUACAAUAUCUUAAUGGAGUAAACACACUUAGUUGGGCGUAAGUAACAACGACUAACAAAUCAUAUAGACUGCUGUAACAAAUGUUUUUCUUGCUUGGUAUUAAAAAGAAAUUUGGCUUUGCCACUUUCAUGUAAGUUACUAGGUAUGUCUUGGUCAAAAGGAAAUCUAAGAAUGUAGUUACUGGAAAAGUUGAUGUAUUGUUACAAUACUAGGUGAAAGGGAAAAAGUUCAGAAUAUUCUUGCCGGAGUAUGGAUGAAAGUUUACAAGAGUGCUGCAAAAUGCUAUUUAACCAGCAUAUGAGGCCAAAAGCCUAAAAAUCUAAUGAAAAGCACAAACUUGCUAAGGAAACUGAUUAAGCAGAAAAAUAUUCUUGAUAAUUCACAUUUUAAAGCCUUCUUAAAACUACCAGGGAGAUUCAGAAUUUUAACAAGAAUGAAGGUUUAAUUGCUUCUUGAAAAAACUUAUAGCUUGUGAUUUUAGACAAAUAUGAGAAACUUCAAAACGAUCUGAAUAUUCUUCUCUAAUAUGUACGCUUCAGCACAUCAUCCUGGAUAAACCCAUGCAUUAGCACCUCCUAGGAGAUUUAUAGUGAGAAGAUCAAUCUCUUGUUAGAGCCAACAUUUAGAUGAAUGAUUUUCCAUACAAAGUUGGGUCAAUUGAGUGUGUGCUACUACCAUAGUUCUAACUAUAAUCAGUUUUCUUGCACUGUUACAUGGUAUUUACAUGCUUAAUAUUGAAUCAUUCUAUAACCUUUAUGAACACGAUUUUCCCUUUCAAAAUAUAAAUAAGACAUUAGACUGGCUUGAUUUUGCAGUUCAUGCCAAAUGACACGUCUGGUAUGGCUUCGCUGUCUACAGUUGAUUCUGGUAUGCAUGAAGACUGAUCGUAUAAUCUGUUCUACCUUCUUUUUUUUUUUUUUGGGUGGAAAACUUUCCUUCUAAGUGGGAGUGGUGUGGGAUGGACUAAUACUCCCAUUUUAAGUCCCAAAAGUUUAACAAAGAAUGCAAAUGCUACCCUAAGCUAUGAAAACUUAUCCUUUUUGUGAAAAGCAUAUGGACCUUUGAAAUUAUUUAUCUCCUUUCCGUUUCUCUGUUCAUGAAUGAUUUGAAAGGUUCCUCACUAUCAAAUUUGGAGAUUUGUGCUUCUUACUUCUAAUGGCUGGCUGCUGUUGGUAUCCCUCACUUACUUUUCAAAGCAACAAGGAAAGAAACAAAGCCAAAAUUGAUAAAAUGGUAAUUGUGCUCAGUAUACACAUGAUUGACUUAGUAAUAAAAAUUUUAGUCCCUGAAAUAUGCUAGUCUCUACAAUGUCAUGUUGCAAUUAUGGUCGUUGUGAUCAAUAGAGUUGGUUGAUUACAAAUUAUCUAUCUUUGUACUAAGCUGCAUAAAGACUCUUGUAAUAUGCCUAAAGAAUCAAGAAUUCAACAUGCGGAUUAGCUUAAGAGGUUAUGGUUAGGUAGAAGUAUCAAAAUUUCGGGGUACAGAUUACCAUCCUAGGUCACUGCAACUAUGCUGCAUAUCUCAAGGAUUAAAAUCUUUCCAACUUACCAAGUUUAGGAGAAAUAAAUUAAUAAUUAAUGGAAAACACUCAAUUGAGUAUCAGAGAAGGAUAUAUGAUUCUUGUAAAUGAAAUGAUGGAGAUUUAUUUAUCUGAAAGAUAAUCCAUAUUGGUUGUCAUUAAAUUAAUUAAUGUUAUUUUAAUGGUUUUACACAUGCAUUUGAAAACUUAAUAAUGAAUAACAGUAAAGUCAAACUUAUACUUACACAGUAAACUGACAUGUGGCAACCUAAAAACAUACCAUAAAAAUACUAUAACCAAAUAAAAUCUUCCAGUAGUCCACUAAUUUUCUUUUUUGCGUUGUGUUUAACUUGAUCCUCUCCUCCCAAAUUCCAAACUUAUCAGCUUAAACCUCAAGCCCUCCAAGAACUCCAAGAGUCAAAGAUUAAACCAAAUAAUGCUUAUUAAGUACAAGUUUAUGAUUGACAAAACACAUUAAGCAGAUACGUACAGAAAAAUAUAAGUUUUAGCAUACAAAAUGAAAAAACUUUGUGGUACAAGUCUGAAAACGAUCACAUUUUUAUUUUUACUUUUUUAAAGAAAAAUGUGCAUAUAGAGGCCCCUAAGCGUAAUCCACAAUGUGAUGGCAUGUAUUUGAUACAAGGCUAUUGCUAUUAGUAUCAGUUUUAGACCCAUUGCCUUUCAGUUGAAUUAUUUGAUCUUCAUGGGAUUUUUCAGCUAAACAUUUUCCACUAGAGGAUAAAGGAAUGCAAUCUUAGCCCCUCUAAAACAGCUUGAUCACAUAUCAAUGCAUAACUCAAGAGGAAACCAUGUAGCACUCAGUAAACAGGGUCGGAGAAUUUUUGGAACAUGCUACAAAUGGGAUAGUUCAUUUCACUAAAAUCUCAAAAUCUCACACAAAAUAUGAAGCUCGCAAAUAUUUAUUUCCCUUUGCUCAAGUCAUUAGUCCAAAAUGCAAACUACCGUGUUAAUGAAGAAAAACAGAAUGCUUAGCAAUAUCAGCCUACCCUUCCUAUCUUCUUGCUUUGACUUGAAAUCCCAUUUAAUGGCCUCUAUAGAGUUCUGAAAGUCUAGCCCUUUAACUUCAAAAACCCACUAAAGUAUCAGUACUGACAAUGCAAGUUUGGACCUUGGACUUGAAAAACAAAAACUUUAUGCACAAAAUUCUAGUUGAAACUCCAAAGGCAUCCAGCUAAUAAACACUAUCCGGAAAGCACUCCCAACGUGCAUGGAUAGACCAUUGCAUUAUAUAUAACACAGAAAAGAUGCAUUCAAGCAAUACAAUGCCAUAUAGUAAGAGAUCCGACAAAUCUUGGAUUGGCUGCCAACCAAUUGACACCUGUUCUAACAGUUAUACUUUUACUUUUGUGGGGGCAGGUCAAGGCAGAAAGAAGGAAAAAAAAAACAAAUAGGAAUCUAGGAAACAAAAGGAAAAGAGUGUGGUUCUGAGCUCCUCCAUUUCUUAAAGUGCACUUCUCUCUCAAAGACUAACACCUGGGCUAGCCAAAGACAUGCUAGAAAGCAACGAGUGCACUUCUUUCUCUGAAAGACUAACACCUGGCCAAGCCAUAGACAUGCUAGAAAGCAGGGAACCAAAGAGGAUAACUAAGCCAGAGACAACAAGCCGUUCCCCAGGUCGCAGGUAUCCAUGCAUGUGCCACAAAAUUAAGACAAACACACCAGAUGGCGCUGAUAAAAGAUACUGCCCAAUAGUUACGCUUUUUAUGAAACCAAGAAAUCGAAAAAAUCAUUCAUGGUACAAUAACACGUAGAUCCGAAAAGAACCCAAACAAUUUGCUUUGGCUAAAGCAUAGCGGAAAACCCUCAAGAACUCGUGCAGUAGGAGGCUAUAAACAAACUAAAAUGUACAGAAUAUAUAACAUUGAACUCCAAGAAUCAGAAAUGUAGUUACCAGGAUAGAAGGUGGGACGAUGACUCAGUUUUUUCCUUUUGACUUGUGGUCAGAAUGGCGGGUACCGUCGCCGUAGCAAAGCUGCAAGCGGGCAUCGAAUCCGGGGAGAAAGUGGUGGUGGUGGUGGUGGUGGUUCUCCACAGGUGCAACAGCAGCAUUAGGUGGAGAUGCGGUUGUGCUGCUGAAGAAAGCCGAUGAUGGUCCGUCUAUGGGCGAAAACCUCUGGACGUGAGGUAACAGAGACGGCGGAGAAGAAGAAUUGGACUGAAGGGUCCCCCUAUUGAAAGCAAGGCCGGAAGAAGAUGGAGAAGAAAUGGUAAAGUUGAGAUUGUAAUCACUGUUACUGCCAUUACCGUUACCAGUAUGAUUACUAUGGCUAUUCCCAUUCCCACCGGCAGCUGUCACAACCGGGACGAGGUGGUCCGGUACAAACGAGAAAUGCGGAAGGUCCGUGUGGUGGCUGUGGUGGUGAUGGUGGUCAGCUGUGAUGGUAA